GGCAAGCAGUUCAUCUCCCGGCGUCCCUGGCACCGCCCCAUACCUCACGGCUCGCCUCUCCCGCUCCGAGUUCGCCUACACGUUCCGUGUCACCGCAGGGCCCAAAUUCGUUCGCCUGCACUUCGUCCCUUCUGAUUACCCCAACUUCCGUCGUGCUGAUUCCUUCUUCUCAGUCGAGGCCGCUGGCUACACCCUGCUCCGCAACUUCAGCGCUUCCCUCUUUGCUGAUUACACCCGCUCCGCGAGCUUCUUCUCUAAAGAGUUCUGCUUAAGUGUCGGAGAGGACCAGAUAUUGAACAUAACGUUCACUCCCACUCCUGGUAAUUCAGACGCGUAUGCUUUCGUGAAUGGAAUCGAAGUCGUUUCCAUGCCCGAAAGUCUCUACUACAACACCGUCGUCGACUCAACCGAGGGAAUCAAGUUGGCAGGUCAGCUGGGGCUAUACACCUUGGAUACCACUUCAGUUCUCGAAGCGGUGAAGCGCUUGAACGUGGGAGGACAGUUUGUCGAUCCAGUUCAUGACACGGGAAUGUACAGGACCUGGGAAGCAGAUGACGAGUACGUGACUUCCUCGUACAUCGGAGGUUUGCCAGUUAACACAACUAUCCAACUCAAUUACGGUAAGCAAGUUUCAGAUUACACAGCUCCAGAUCCCGUAUACACUACUGCAAGGACCAUGGGAACGGACAAAAGAAUCAAUCUGAGCUACAACCUCACGUGGUCCGUCGAGGUGGAGACGAACUUCUAUUACUUGGUCCGGUUACACUUUUGCGAAUGCCAGAAAGAGAUAAAGGAGCACUUAGACAGGGCUUUCAAGAUUUUUCUAGAUUCACAAUUGGUCGAGGGCCAUGCGGAUGUCAUUAGUUGGAGCGGGAAGGGCGUGCCCGUCUAUAGAGAUUUUGCAGUAGCCCUCCUGGAUCACAGCCAAAAGAAAAGAACCAACCUCUCCGUCGCGUUGGGCGCACUUCCAGAUGGUUGUACUCUUUACUCUGAUGCCAUCUUGAAUGGCCUCGAGAUUUUCAAGAUCAGCGAUCCAGACGGGAAUCUCGUAGGGCUGAACCCGGAUCCAAUUCCACGGGCAAGCAAAGCAUCGUCGAGCCUCAGCAAAGCAGCAAAAAUUGCCAUCGUUGCUGGUGGAACUUCGGGCUUCACCGUGCUCUCUCUCCUGGCUUUCUUUCUUUACCGGCGAAAAAACAGAGAGAAGGAUUCGACCUCAAGCGACGGCACCUCAUGGUGGGGCCCGGUCUCCCGCUCGGCGACCAAGUCAAUGAAGACCCAGGGGUCGUCCCUGCCGUUGGAUCUGUGCCGCUACUUCUCGCUGGCGGAGAUCAGAGCGACCACGAACAACUUCGACAAGGUGUUUAUUAUCGGCGUGGGCGGGUUCGGCAACGUGUACAAGGGCUACGUCGAUGGCGGGGCCACUCCAGUGGCGAUCAAGCGGCUGAACCAGGGAUCGCAGCAGGGCCUCCAUGAGUUCAGGACCGAGAUCGAGAUGCUCUCGCAGCUCCGGCACCUCCACCUGGUCUCCCUGAUUGGGUUCUGCGAGGACGCGGGAGAGAUGAUCCUCGUGUACGACUACAUGGCACGCGGGACCCUCAGCGACCAUCUCUACAACACCGAUAAUCCCCCACUCCCCUGGAAGCAGCGGCUCGAGAUCUGCAUAGGCGCCGCGUGGGGGCUCCACUACCUCCACAGCGGUGCCAAGCACACCAUCAUACAUCGUGACGUGAAGACGACCAACAUCCUGCUCAACGAGAAGUGGGUUGCCAAGGUGUCCGACUUUGGGCUCUCGAAGGUCGGACCCACGAGCGAGUCUAAGACGCACGUCAGCACGGCCGUGAAGGGCACCUUCGGGUACCUGGACCCGGAGUACUACAGGCACCAGCGGCUGACUGACAAGUCCGACGUCUAUUCCUUUGGCGUGGUGCUGUUCGAGGUGCUGUGCGCAAGGCCUGCCGUGAACCGGAUGGCCCCAAUGGAGCAGAUCAGCCUGGCUGAGUGGGCGCAGAGUUGCUGCAAGAGCGGGGCCGUCGAGGAGAUCGUGGACCCGCACCUGAAGGGGUCUAUCACCCCCGAGUGCCUCAACAAGUUCUGCGAGAUCGCCAUGAGCUGCUUGCAGGACAAGGGGGCCAAACGGUCAUCCAUGAACGACGUUGUGUGGGGCCUCAAUUUCGCACUGCAGCUACAGGUGAGCACAGAGCUGGAAGCGACGGAUCAUGUGGGUGUGUCAGUGCAUGAUAGCGAUGACAGCGACCAUGACGCAGCUUCGAUCAGAGGCAGCGGCAGCGAUGAGGAGAUCAACACUAGUGAUAGCGAUAGUGGUCGUUGGAAGAGCAGUAGGGAAACUGCGACGUCGACCAGAGCUGGAAGCAAUGAUGUUUGUGAUGAGACUAUGACUAGUUAUGACUAAGAGAAGUUGCCUUGAGAAAAUAUUAGGUGCUCAAGUGUGACGCUCAAAAUUACGUGUUUCUUAUUUUAUUACUCUCUUUUAACAUACGAAAGCGUAAUUAAACAUUUACUAUUAUUCUUUUAACAAUUAAAGGCCUUACAAGUAUAAUCAACAUAUUGAUGCAUCUUUUAUUUAUACCACAUUUGAGUUCAUAAUCUUAUUAUAUUACGAGCAAAAAACAAAAAUCUGGAUAGAGGUGGGGAGACCUAUCUUCGUACUAUACUAUACUUCCAAAAGUCUGCCUAUAUAAAUGUAGUCACGAGUCGAUAACUUCUCCGUUUGUUGUGUCUUCAUCAUCAAGUCACGCCCCAAACCCCGAGCGCGUGCCCAUCCCUAUUUGGUCGAUAAGAAUUUACGACUUCCCAGGACAAGUUGCCGACCCUUUCCAUUUUAUUGCACAUGCGGAAGUGAAAAGAAAUUCCCUGACAAUAAUCAUCUCGGGAUAGAAAAUCACGAUAAUAGAUUCACAAACAAACAAGCUUUUAUAUAUACAUUGAGUCAUGUACAAAGGUCUAUGGCCAAAAGACUACAAAAGACUGGCCUUCCAAAAAGAAGUGGUCCCAACUGACCUACGCUUCCAAUCACCUUCUCUCAACUCUAGCUCUUCCACUCGAUGACCCUGAAAAUGUUGUCCCACAACGGGGUGAGAUAUCAUCUCAACGAGUCUAAGCGCUAAACUCCAAUUAGGAAGGAAAUAUGCCCAUAAGUGUCCUAAUCACACAAUCACACAAUCAAUGAGACUUACCUCAUCUUAGAUCCACCCUGCAGGUCAGUACAAUUUAUAUCACAGACAACAUGAGAGCAUGAGCAACAAUAAGCUUCAAUAACUGAAAUGCCACACUCAAUUAAUCAUGCGUUCCUAGUUUAGAUCUCGGCAUAUAGCACGGCCUACUCUCAGUUCGGCGGUCUUCUGGCAUUGCUAGGCUUCGUCUCACCCCAUUGGGCACGGCACGUCUCUUUAUCAAACGGCUUUCCAAAGGAGCAUAGGGUACAGAAUCAACUGCGACCGGCUUCCCGUUGUCCAUGGGGUAUCCCAAAUAAGGAUAACGUCCAGCUCAAUAGCUCGGGACGAUUUCUCUUAACCAACACACAAUCACUCAAAUAUGGCCUAGGGCACCGUGCAUUGCACUCAAAUGCUUCAAUUAAAAUGGUAAGCCUGGCCUUUUUUUUUUUUUUCAUAUUAGAAAUUCACACGGAAUUACUCAUGUGUGGGUACACGGUCAAUUUGACCUCGAAAAAUUGAUAUUCUUCCUUUUUGAAAUUUCACUAUUUCAAAUAGUACAAAAAACUAUUUUCGGUGCCAAAACCUAACACCCGAGAUUUUCUAAAUAAAUAUUAGAAAUUCACAAUUCCAACAAUCUAAUCAGCACUCAAUUUGCAUAAUUUAACACUCAAUUGCAGAAAUUAACCACACCAUUGCAAUUAGCAUGAAAUUCCGGUCACCAGUUAUCUUGACCUAAUUUCCGGAAAAAUAAUUAAUAAUUAAAUAAUUACUGAAAUUAAUUAAAUAAAUCAAUUUAAAUUCUAAAAAUACUAACCUAGGCCAAAAUCAUUAAAUUAAUAACCAAUACGGACUCGGAGAAAUUCCCGAACCCUUCUAGGUAAAUAGUACAAUCUAUUUAGGCCUUAGCUAAACUAUGCUAACCACCUAACAUGCUCAAUUACAUAAUUACAUUUCUAAUUUAAUAUGACUAACCACCUAAUUCCUAAUAAAAUAAAUCUAAACACCCCUUAAACGUCAUUAACCUACUAAGCAGAGUUUAGAGUAUAAACUCACUGGUGUAUCGCGAAAACCGGUUCACUGCAACAAUGACGCAAUGGCGGACGAAAUCUUAAUUUUCAACGGUGUCGGCGAACUUGGACCGGGCCUAAAACAAGCCCAACACAACUCAGCAAGGCUGAGUUUCGAUCUUGGGCUUCUGCAGGGCUGCUGGUUGCGGGCUUGGGCCUUCUUCGCGGGCCCAAAAUGGACUGAACUUCAAAUGGGCUAAAACCAACUGAAUUUGGGCUUGAGCUUGGGCUUCAAAAUUUGCUGGAGAUGGGCUUAAAAUCACUAGGCUGAAGAAUUCGAUGGAUCCAUGGGAUUCAAAGGCUGGACUGAAAUGUCUCUGCAGAUGGGCUGAAUUGAGCGGGCUUCUAAAAACUUGCGUGGGCUAAAUCCAAGGAGCAACAAAGAAAGAGAAGCAGCAGCUUUGACGGGCUGGGCUUCUUCGGCUGAGUGGCCGAGUGGAUUGCUGGGCUGAGACGCACGCGCAAGAGGAGAAACGGACGAAGCAGCUGCUGGCGGUUGACUGGGAAGGUCGCUCGUGGAUUGAAAAUUGUUGGGCCGAAUCUCAGCCAAAUGAUGGACAAAUUUGCGGGCGAAGGAGAGGAGCUUGGUGGUGGACGCCUGGCAGCUGUUGUUGGAUGAAGACAUGGUGUGAAAGGCACGAGCUUCUUCGGUCGAGAGCUAGACGAACGGAUUGCUCGCUUCGUAGGCAAGCUGGUGGAGGCGGCGUGCGGAUCGUGGGUGGACGACAAAGCAACGCCAAAGAAGGGAAAUGAUGGGGUCAACAAAAAGGAAUCUUGAGGGAUGAGGGUUGACCGAACAAGCAGCACAUGGUGGACCUGUGUGGCAGCUUAAGGGUGGGGGAAAUUGGAGAUGGGAUGAACGAAGUAAAGGAGAAGAAAAAUGAGUAGCUGAUGGCCUGUGUUGAUCCGUGAGGGAGCGAGAGAGAGAGAGAGAGAGAAAAGAAGUGGCGUGCGGUCUUCAGCUGGGACAAGAGACACACGAAGAUGGAGGUGGAGGCGGUGGUCUUGGCGUGCGGGAGAAGCAGCCGGUGGAGGGUCCCAAAGUAAAGCAACUCAAUCCAUUACAUUAAGGCCCUGUUUGGUAACCAUCCAAACAUGGCCAAAUUCUGAUUCUUUGUUCCCGGAAUCAGUUUCGGCCUAGAAUCGCGUUUGGUAAAAUUUUUGUUCCCGGGAACAGAUUGGGAAUAGAAUCAAGAACAAAAAAAAAGUUGAUUCUUGUUCCGGGAACGAAUUUGAGAAUCAAAAUCAAGAAAUUUUUUUCUUCCCUUCGGCCAUCUCGCGACUGCCGUCCACCACCGCCCGCCACUGUCUGCCGUCCACCGCCACUGCCGCCGGCCACCGGAGGCAAGCCUAGCCACUGGCGAGGCUCAGCCUCCCCAGAUCUGGCGAGGCCGAGCCUCGCCGGUGGCCAGGCGGGCCUCGCCGGGGCUGGGCAGGGGCUGGGCAUGCCUCGUGACGCCUAGCCCCAUCGGUGACCAGGCGAGGCUCGCCCAACCCCGCCGGUGGCCUGGUAGGCCUCGCCCAACCCCGACGAGGCUAGCCUGGCUGGCCUGGCCACCGGCGGGGCUAGGCGAGCCUCGCCCAGCUGCCGAUAAGGCUCGGCCGCUGAGGGCCGGUGACACUCCGGUGAGGUUGCCCGGCGACCAGCUAGAAGAAGAAGAAGAUGAUGAGAAAAAGAAAAGAAAAAAGAAAAAAAAAGGAAAAAAAGGAAAAAGAAAAGAAAAAAAAUGAAAAAAUGAAAAAAAAACAAAAGAAAAAAAGGAAAACAAGUAAAAAAUUAUUUAAAAAUUAAAAGAAAUUGAUUUGGAACAGAAUUAAUGAACACGAUACUAAACGCAAUUCUAUUCUAGAAUUAGAAAUUUUGGACAGUUACCAAACGGCUUAAAAUGCUUAUAAUCAGUUCCCAGGAACAGAAUAAAAAAGAAUCAGUUCUAAUCAGAAUCUACUCCCGAGAACAGAAUUGUUACCAAACGCGCCGUAAUUGCAUGUCCCCUAUUUCUUUCCACUUGAUAAUUUCAUGAAUUAACAAAUUGUAAAGCCAAAAUUGCUGCCCCUUUGUAAAGUUCCGAAUUUCACUUAAAUUUUCUUGAAUUUCUUCAUCGAUUCUCCAAAUCGAGGUCUAAUUUCAUCGAAGAAAAAGCCCGUACAAAUUUAUGCAAGUCCUCAACACUCAAAGGCUCGGCUUGGAAGUUCCAAUUUCCAUCAAAUGAGUCCAUCCGAAUUUCCGUUAAUUUUCCGCGACGUCUGAAUCAAAUUUCCGUAAAAAUCUCAGAAUCUUUGAAAAUUUCUCGGUGGGUGAGUCGAUGUUCCUCAAAUAGCUCGUAACACCACAGAACUUUCAAUUUUUAAAAUCGGGUUCAAAUUCACGGUUAUUUUCAAUCCAGCGCGCUUUUAGCGUGACCUAGUCUAUCGGGUAGGUUUUAGGAAUUUUUAGUGCAAUUGACCCGUGAUCGAUUUACCUCAAGUCACAAUGUACAUCUUCGACACAUUGAUGAAUCUCGAUUAUCGUGAAAAUCUCAAGGUUUCAAAUACGGACAUAGGGUACUCAAAACGAUAGAAAAUCAAUUUAGUGCCGAUCGAUAAGAAUUUUGCAAUCAGGUGGAAUCACCCACAUUUUGAUCACUUAUCUCAGUCGAAUCAACUUAUCUCUGAUCUCUGAUUGAUUUUUAAGUGUGUUGUAAUGACUCUUGCAAAUUAACAUGGUCAAGCAAUCGAUUCCUGGUCGAAUUCUCAAGUCUUUUGCGUUAAAAUCCCUUAAUAAUUUUCCCAGAUAGCCUAGUUAUCUCUUGAGUAAUCGGCUCAGAGAAUAGCACUAUAGACGCGUCGAUGAAAGACUCGAUUUAUUCAAUUGAAAUUAGAUUUGAAAAAUCAGGAUGUCACAUCCUGGUACUAGGAAAUGAACUGAAAAUGAACUCACUCUAGGAAACCUCUUACAUCCACCCACAUAAUAGAACUACACUUGAUAUAUAUUAUUCCAUAUUCUGAUUCAAACAUAUUUCAUAAAGACCUUCAUAAUUCAUAGAGACUUUAUAGCAUAAAGGUUGAAAUGUGUUCAUUCUACAUGUUUGAAAAAUAAAAGGAAUGAGCCAAAACAUAGUAAAUGAAAUUUCUAGUUUUAAGUCAAAAGAAUUCUCUUACCACUUCAUCUGAUGUAUACAAAGUGAAUGCAUCAUCAUCGGAUAAGUGUGAUAAAAAUAUAAGUAAACUUUACCUUUUCCAUUUUCAUUUACCAAAUAAAUUGUUAACCAAUAAUACAUCCAUUCAGACUUAGGGUUUCUCUUUUUUUUUUUUUUUGGUAUGGCCUCUCUCGCACGUCACUCUCUUUUACUUUUUCCUUUGUGUUCUUUUUUUUACCCAAAAGAAAGAACCCCCCAUUCUUUUUGCACGCAACAUCUUUUAUGAGCCCAAAAAUUGUAUCUUCGCGAUAUAUAUAUUUUUUCCUUUUUAUUUGUGCACGAUCCCCCUAGAUAUAUCAUUGAAAUAUACACAUUUCGCGCAAUAUUCUCUUUUUGUAUUUUUUCAAAUAUUUCAUUCGAAAAUUUCCUUUUCGCCUAAAAUAUAUCCCCCAAUAUAUAUUACCUGAAAAUAUGAAAAAUCUGAACGGAAUAUGUGAAAAAUCUUUCCCUUACCAGUGAUCUAAAAAAAAAAGAAACAAAAAAAAUAACAUAAUAUUCCUAAACCAUAUGCCAUGUGAUUUUUAUUUUAUUUUUUAUUUUGGUAACAAAUUAACCCAAAAAUUAUGCAAAAAUUUAUGUGUCAACAACACUCUUUGAGACAUCCCAACUGGACAUCCCGCAAACUACCAUCAUGGGGCAUCGUCACGCACCACUAUAUGAGUGACAUAAUCACAUUAAUAUUAUUUAAAGCCAUAUAUACACACACACACACACACACACACACACACACACACACACACACACACAUAUAUACUUACAAGCAUAUCACACAUAUCUCAACUCAAUUUAAUACAUUAAAAAAAUAAUCGUAUAUGAAAUAACAUAUAGUCAUACUCUGGUCAUUAAAGUUUGGAGAUCCAAAUGAGUACAUUUUGAAUUUGGACAUUAGUGGGAUCCGAACGAAUAAAUAUAUUUUGGACAUAAAAUUUGAACAUGUAAAUGGGUACAUUUUAAGUUAGAAUAACAAGUAUAUUCUAGUCAUAAAGUCUGAAUAAUCAAAAAGGUAAAUUCUGGCUUAAUAGAAGCUUCUAGAAUAAAAGAACAAAUUCAAUAAUGAACGGAUUUACAAGUGAAUAGAAUCAACAAAUAAAUAGAUUCAACAAAGAAUAGAUUUAUAUUUAGUAAAGUUUGUUUGAAUCAAUGGAUAGAUUUAUUAACAAACAAAUUCACAUGUUGGUAGAUUCAGCAAGAAAUAGAUUCAUACUCAGUAAAGUCUAUCUAAACCAAUAAACAAAUUUAUCAACGAACAUAUUCACAAGUUGGCAAAUUUCACAAGGAAUAGAUUCAUACUCAUUUAAAGUUUGUUUGAACUAAUAAACAUAUUUAUGAAUGAACAUAUUCAUCAGUUGGCAGAUUCAACAAGUGAACAUAUUCACAAAUGAACAGAUUUAACCAAAUGAAUAGAUUCACAAAAGGCAGAUUUACAAAUGGAUAGAAUAGGAACUUCUAGUAGAAACAAGUAGGAUGAAUAGAUUCUUACUAGUAAAAUUCUAGCAGAACAAAAUAGAGCUGUCACAACCUAAAUUUCGGGUGGGUUUGGCUAAUGGACUACUAAGUAUAACUUAGUUUGGGCUCUUCCAAACCCAUACUAAUUCGCGACUUAGGUUCAAAUUCUUAAUAUGCAAAUGAUAUUUCAGUUAAGAGUCGCCACUAAUCUAUUUUUGGUGGGCCGAUUAGAAACCUAAGCAAAGUAACGGGAUAUUUACUUUACUCCUACGAAUAAGAGAUUUAUGAGUUCGGGGAUUCGUUAUGCUAGCUUUCUCUAACGCCCUUUCGGUACAUUUCUCUUUUAUUUCGAAAAAUGCUUGGCAAGCAAUUUCCCUAACAUGUGAGGCGGUCAUGCGGGUGCGUAAACCACCGAUUUAACAUCCAAGAAAGCAAUGAAUAAAUUGCAGGACUUACCUCAUAGCAACGAAAGCUUCUGCGUUGUUAGAUCAGAAUUCACAUCAACAACCCUAGAUUUUCUAGUUAACACGCAAAUUCUUCUUUUUUUUUACUUAAUUAAUGAGAAUCAUGCUUUAUGCAAUGCAUGCCACUAAUUUAACAUGAAAUGAUAUGACAUGGCAACAUGAUUUAGCUAUAUGACCUAAGCGAUAUGACAUAAAUAAGCAUGUAAUCUAUCCUGAAGCAUGAGAUGGAUUUAUUCUAAAAAGUAAUUUUUUGUAUUUUCCAUGAGAUUCGAAAUUAAAGAAAUGCAACACUUAAAUAUGCAAUCUAAAUUAAUCUAAUGACCUAAUUCUAAUGACAAGCAAUUUCUAAUUAAAUGAACCUAACAAAAAUCACUAAAUGACGUGAAUUGUAUGAACCUAAUUCUAUAUGACGUGCACAUGAUUUUUAUUUUCCUAAUAAGCAUGCAAUCUAUCAUAAUAUGCAAUGACGUGCAAAGAAUGCUCUAGUUCUAUUUUUUUUUUAUGAAAUUCGAAAUUAAAAUUGCCAAAUAAUUAAACGUGUAAUUCAAAUUUAAAACUAACAUCCUAAAUGAAUGCAUUUUUUUGGAUUUUUAUUUUUAAAAAUUUGGAAUAAAAUCUCUAUUCUAAAUAUGCAAAAUAACCCUAAAACAAGAAAUAUUUUCAAAUGCAUCUAACCUAACUCAAAUAUAUUUUUGGGUUUUUCCUUUAUGGAAGCAAUCAAAUAAAGGCAUCAAAAACAGCAUGGCAACAAAUCAAGCAAGAUAUCAUCCAUGUCCAUUUAAUUUUGGGAAAUAAAUUGACGAAUCGUAUCUUACACAUGAGAUCGGAUUAGCCAAUUUUUAAAUAAAUCGCGAAUCGAAUCUCGAGCGUGAGAUCGGAUUGGCGAUUUUCUAUGCAAUUGCGAGUCGUAUUUCGAGCGUGAAAUCGGACUGUCAAUCAUAUGCACGUUGUGAAAUUGGGAAAAUUUCACAACUUAGAAGGCUACUCGAGUUGCGAUUAUCACGGCAUAUCAGGGAUUUCAAUCAUGUGCAUCAUUCGAAGAUUUGAAUUUAAUCACAAUAUCAUUGAAUUAAGUAAGGAAAUUACCAAAUUAAAUUUGGGUAAUAUCUUUACCUAUUUUGUAAUAUCGUUCCCGAAGUUGGACUUGUCGGAUGAUGGGGCUCGCAGUGAAUUCUACAAAAGAAAAGUCAAGCGCGAUGAUGGUAGAUUCACGGUGAUAUCCGGCUGAGGAGGGACUACUUCGCGGUGGUUGCGGCAGCUUGCUAAAUUGGACUGAAAUCAUCGCAACGAACUACUCAACAAAUCUGGGAAAAUCAAUGGAGCGGGCUGGACUUGCGCCAGGUGAUGUCUGCGAUUAAUGGAGAUCGUGACUGUGUGUGGCAGUGCAUUAAACAUAUAAUAACCACGUCAGGAAAGUGAAGCCAUGAGAAAACCAGAAAACUCUUCUUCUCUUAUUUUUAGGUGCUCACAUGGGCAUGAUAUGUGUCCCUUGUACGUGACUAUAGAGAAAGAAAAGUGGAAUUUUUAUUGAGAAUUGAAAACUCCCUUGAUAGCUUGAUGAUCCCCUCGGUUUACGCCUGAAGUUGGUCUCAGUGCGGCAGCAGCUUUGUCGAUGAGGAAUCCGCAGUGAUGGUGUCACGUAUGGACCGACGGUGGGACUCUCAGUACAGGCUGCUUGGUGAAGCCUGCCGGUUCAAUAAUUCUCGGCUAGGGAAGGAGCAACUCACUGGGUGGACUUCUCGAUGGAGGUGGUGACCACGCACAAGCAUGGGCUGACGGUGAGGAGGAUGCUCAGAUGUUCACCGAGAUAGUCUCACAGCGAACCUGCAAAAUAAAGAACGAUUUUGUUGCGGGAAGGCACCAUACUGGUCUCAGCUCGACAACGGUAGCGAUGUCAUGGCUCACGGCACGAUAGAAAAACUUAGUGCUGCUUAUUCGAGAACCUGCAAAACAGAAAGAGAUUCGCUGUAGUGAAAGGGAAGAGCUCAGCCAAGAGGGGGCCGUCGUGGUGCAGGUACAGCGUGGAUGUCUAGCAGCAACAAUUAUGGCUAGUGGAUCUCGGAGGCGGUGAUGGAGCGAUCUCGGAAUUGGGACCCAAAGAGCAGAAAGAACUUCGGUUUCUAUUCUCUAUUGGAUCCUCCAAUCUAUCUAUUCUCUCAACGUGUGGCCAUAUGUUCAAUGUGUGUGGCCCUCUUAAAACCCUACGCGAACAACGUUUUUAUAGGCCAAGGAUUAGGGUUUGAAUUUCUUUUUCAAAUCAACUUCCGUGAAGAUUGCUUUCUUAUUCUUGCAACUUUUCUUUCUGCCCACACCAAUGGAUACGUGAAGACUAAACCCCACUUUCCCUUUUUCGUUGAUUUCCUUUGUACGAAGCUGAUCCUCCUCCUUGCAUGAUGGUCAACAGAAUUGUCUAAGGAUUUUGAGAAUAUUGACUCAAUUUCAUGGGUGCUCAAGAUGGUCUCUCCUGUGGCCAAAUCUUUGUCCGCACGCUUUCAUCUUUUUUCUUGGAAGAUAUCAUUUUCUGUCCUUACGCAGAUUGAAUAUUCUCCGACCAAAUAAUUGCCCACAAAUUGGUCGAACAUUAGGCUAAAAAUUCAAGAUUGUUAUAGAAUCCUCUCAAAUUCCGAGUCUUGCAAAGAUGAGAUCGCAAUCCACUGUGAUAUCGUUGAAUAUUGAAAUAAUAAUACAAAUCUUUUCCGAAAUGCACCCAUCUCCCAACUUGUCAAAUUAAAGCUUAUUUGUCACCGGUCCAUGCAAAUGCGAUAAAAUAAAUAAAUAAAAAAACACUUAAAAAUAUAUGCUGUGAUUUAAUAUUUUUGUUUAGGGGUUAAAGUUCGGUCCCUAAUUUUUUAAUGAAUAAACGGGUCGCCAAAACUUAGGUGUCAACAAGAGUGAAUAUGCAAGAGGUUAUCAAGACAAAUACAACAGAACAAACUGCUUUUGACUAUGCAUAACGAAACAAAAUGAAGAAGAAUGAAUGUGUAAUGGGUUAUCGAGAUAAAUAUGGUAGAACGACCAAAUUUUAACUACCCAGAAUGUAGUAGAAAGAAGCAGAACGAACAUGUAAUGACUCGUCAAGAUAAAGAUGGCAGAACGACCAAAUUCUGACUACCUAGAACGAAGUAGGAAGAAGCAAAAUGAAUCAUCAAGAUAAAUAUAACAGAACGACCAGAUUCUGAUUAUCUAAAAUGAAGCAGAAAGAAACAUAAUGAACAUACAAUGGAUUAUCAAGAUAAAUGUAGUAGAACAAUUAGAUUUUGACUACUUAGAAUGAAGUAGAAAGAAACAGAACAAACCUUUGGAAACUGAAUGAUGUACCGUGUAGGGCUAUGUAGCGAUUUUUGGCUAAAUAAUCAUUGAUAAGUUUGCAUGAUUGUGUUAAUAUUCGGUAGAAGGUACAAAUCCUUCACUAUCUUAGAUUCAAUGGCAAUCAAAAAGCUUUAACUUAGUGCAGAGUUUCAGCUUUCAUCUCUUUAUGAAUCCAUCUUGAGGCUAUUUGGAAAUUGAAAACCUUUGCAAAUUGCAGACUUUGGUAUAUGAGGGCAUUAAAUGCCCUCUUACAAGCUACUGAAGACGCUUCUGUAGCUUAUUCUUAGGCAGACUUGCAGUUUUCAAACAGUAAUAUUUAUCGAAGUUGUGUGAAUUUUUUAAAGAAAUUGGACUGUAAUGACGUGGAUGGGAUCUGCAAAAUGAGUCUAAACAUUUGGAGGAUUAAGUACAAAUUUGGUUCUCUAAGUUUAGGCAUUUGUGUGAUUUGAUCUUCUAUUUUUUAUGUUGUGCAAUUAAGUCCUCUUAACUUUUUUGAUUUGUGCAAUCAGAUGUACUGUUUACUUGUUGUAAGUAAUGCUGUCACACUAUGAUUUCCUUUUUACUUGUUUUUCCUGUUUGCUUUCUGCUCAUUUGGAAGCAAAUUAGCAUCACCUUUUAUUUUUGUCGCUUAAACAAUGUCACGUCAUUGAUUAAUUCGUUGGUUUAGUCGAAGUGGUUGACCGAAGGAUUUGAUUACAUAAAUUCAAAAAGUUGAAGGAUUAGAUUGUACAAAAUAAAACUUGAAGGACCCAAUUUGCACAAAUGUGGAAAGUUAGAGGACUUGAUUUAACGAAAUAAAAAUUAGAGGAUCAAAUCGCAUAAAUGCUGGAACUUAAGGACCAUAAUAUGCACUUUACCCAACAUUUUUACUAUGAAUUACCUGUGGCGGUGCCUCGUCCGUGUCAGGCCGAGGCAAAUUAUGUCCGAGUCUGGUUUGUAUUUUCUAUUCUUUUAUUAAAUCUAAUAUCUUCUCAAUAGAGGCAACAAUCAAGACCCUUUUCGCUAAUCGGCCCUGCCCGGGACAGGCCGUGUAGGCCUUGCUGGGACCAUGCCGGUGCGCUGGUCAUUCCUAAUCCGGACAUUUGUUUAGCACGAUACAAGGUGUCAUGCCCUCCCCAAUGUGAUUUACUGCGGUUCUGAAAAAGCUUUUCUGUUCCUGGCAAUGUCACAGCCAAAAUUCCCUUCCAUCUUGUGUAACUGAGAAAACUGGUAAUGAGUAACAUCGUGAACAUGUUCUCUUUGAAAACUCGGGCACACGAUGCACAAAUCCGGCUGUCAAACACAAAAAAAAGGGGGUUUGACCUACAAUUUAGGCACACGAUGCAUAAAUCCGGCAGUGAAAACACAAAAAAAAAAAGGUCUGAACUACAUGGAGCAUGUAAUCUGGUGCCGCAGACAUCAAUGCCAGAACAUGUGACCGAGAAGAGACUUCCUUGUCAAUAGAUGGGACAUGAAAGCCUCCGGUAUGUGCACAUUGGCGGCACGAAUACACCAUUUGAAUGAUUGUUAUGAAAGCCCCCAGCUUCAGAGCUACUUUAUUCUUCCGGUUUUGAGACGGCAUGCUGUAAAGACCCAAAAUGUCGGUUUGCCCUUUCCACUAUGCUUGGCCGAUAUCAUGCAAAAAAUCAACCAAAGAACAGUUUAAUAUAUACGCACCAGGUUGUCAUUCAUUUUCUCGGAAGUUAACGAAGCCUUUGGAGUGUCUUGCUUGGCACCUUUUGUGUGAAAACAGAUUUUAAUAGACUCUGGCUAUGCCAGCCACGCUAAGCGGAGAAAGGUCCGUUUAUGUCAUAAUCUUUAGGACUGGAGAUGGGUUUCACUUAGUUGUAUGAAAACCAUUUGAAAAUUUGUUGAUCUUUGGCUCAUCCAAGGAAUUUUCCGUGCAUCAUCAGGAUUGAGAAAAGAUGGGACGUCCCUUGACUGAACUAUUUGCUCCUUGCAGUUCAGUCUACUAACAAAUGCAACCGGAGGAGGUGAGCGAUCCUUCGACUCAGCAACAGUUUCGGCUCCAGCAGAAUGUACAAACCAGUCCAAUUAAUCUGAUGCAGGCUGUACAAUUCCAGCCCCACGAUUAGUAGACGAUGCCGCUUCACGCGAUGCCGCAAUCUAAUCCACAGCAUCUGGUUGGUCCUGGACAAAUUCCACAAGCGAACCAAAGUUUUGGGGCUCAGUCGACUCUAUACUUAGGGCAACCGAUUCCCGUGAGUUUUCAGGUUCCAACCGGUUUCCAGCCAUUGCAUCCUGUCCCAGGCUUUACUACAGGGCCGAUGAAUGCUCCGGCUCAACCCUUUCAUACUGCUGGUUUAGACUAUCCUCAAGUGCCAUUUCAUCCGCAUAACGUGCCUCCGAUGCCUUAAGGGAUAAUAGUUCAAUUGCCACCAUCUGCUCCACCAUCUCCUUGGACAACGGGGUUGUUUGACUGCAUGGAUGACAUUUUAAUUGGUACAGUGGCCUUUUGCUUUUCCUGGGCAAGUUUAUAAUAAAAUGGACGAGUAACACCUGGAGAAUCUCCAAGUAUUUCUUGCGCGUUUGCAGUGGUUGUGGCCUGUUGCUUCCCCUGCGUAACAUUCGGCCAGAUAGCAGAGAUUGUUGACCGAGGAGUACAUGUUAGUAAGGAUGCUUUUACUAACUUUUAAAUCCUUGAUUCUACUAGUGUAGCAGAUAACGGAGAUCGGAAAAUUCAAUGUGCUUUCAACAUUCUAAGGGAGAGAGCAAUCGGAAUGACAUAUUUUAUGCACUUCAGCAUAUGAGAAGAAAGGGUCUCAUUGAACUAAUGCGGUUGAGAAUGAUGUUUGCUUUGCAGCAUGUGGAACGAGUGGGCUACUGUAUGGUGGGAUCCAGUUUCUCAUCGGUUGCCCGUGCUUGUUGUCCUGCACUUGCCAAACCAAGCUCCGGAACCAAUUCAACCUCAUUGAGUCCCCUGCUCCUGACUGGAUCACUCACUUCUUUUGCGAAUGUUGUGCUCUUUCUGAGGGAUACAGAGAGCCUAAGAACAGAGGACUUGACCCUUCCAUAGGCAAAACUAAUGUCGACUAUAGCCAUUUGAGCUCCAAACGAGCACUUAAUAAGCCAACUUAUUGCAAAUAUGGCACUAAAAUACUGUCGUUAUGGUGCCUCCAAUGCAUCAGCACGCCAUGAGAGCUUGACGAGGAACAUCACAUCGGAUCCAUCAAUGACUCAGAUCAUCCUCUUAUGUAGUCACCAAUGAGUCCAAGAAAGCGAAUGCCAAUGGAACUAUGAAGUUUCAAUUUGCAGAUAUGAAUAACAAAUUUCUUUCUAAAAGUUUCCAUCGAUUUGAGGAACAAAUUGAAAUAAAAUUGUCGAAGAAUAUCUUACAAUAGUCCAACAACUGAUUUGCUUCUGUGCUGUAUCGUUGUUGCAUCUUGAAACAUUACUUUCUUUUCCACCAGUUAGUUUCGGACUCAUAUCUAGGAUCAUGCCACUGUUCACAAUUCUGUGACAUCCAUCAAAUCCAUAACAUCAGCUGUUUUCAGUGGCAUGAUUUUUUUGAGGUGCUCGGUUCACUAGUCGUUUCUUUGGAUUAAGCUUUCCAAACUAUGUGCUUUCUUAAUUCAACCAAUGGAAAUUACACCGAGAAAGAAGGCUCCCAUCUAGAUGUGAGAGGAUGACCACUGUGAGGUGAUCGCAGCCACCACAAGAGAUACGCGAUGUGAGAUGGAUGGCCUCACGUCGACUGCAACACGGUGGUUGCCAUCUCUCUCUUGCACACGCACGCGGCUCUCAGCCUAUUUGGCACCAUAUUAGCUGCAUAAGAGCCACGUGACCCAGUGAAAAUUAAUGUAACACAUGUACGUUGAUUGUCCAGCUACUAUUCCAACGUGCUCCUUAGCACUAUGUAUAGAGCUUUUCAACCGGAAGGCCGACUGCAAACACAUUUUACAAAAAAAAUUGUCACCUUGUCUGGUUUCUCAAGUACUCAUUUUGGAGUUUGGCCCACGUCUAGAGUAGGUCGAGUCGUCAUAGCAUGUCUCCUUUUGAUAGAUCUACGGUUUGCGGAUGGAAUAGGUGUGACAGCCUGAAUUUUCAUAACUUGUUUUCGAUUAAAUAAAUCGGGUCUUUCAUCGAAACGCUAAUAGUGCUAUUCUCUGAGCUGAUCACUCAUGAGAUAACUGGACUAUCUGGGGAAACAAGUAGGGAAUCUAAAUGCAAUUGCACUUGAGAAUUCGACCAAGAAUCGACUGCUCAACCGUGUUGAUCUGCAAGGGUCAUUACGGCACCGUCAGAGAUCGAUUAGAAAUCAAAGAUAGGUCGAUUCGACUGAGAUAUGUGAUCAAAUUGUGGGUGAUUCCACUUGAUUGAAAAAUUCUCAUCGAUCGGCACUAAAUUGAUUUUCUGUCAUUUUGGUACCCGGUGCCCGUAAUUGAAACCUUGAGAUUUUCACGACAACUGAGAGUUGCUAAUGGGUCGAAGAUGUACUUUGUGACUCGAGAUAAAUCGAUCACAGGUCAAUUGUACCAAAAAUUCCUAAAAGUUAUCCGGUAGACUAGAUCACGCUAAAAGCGCGCCGGAUUGAAAAUAACCGCAAAUUUGAACCCGAUUUCAGAAAUUGAAAGUUCUGAGGUGUCACAAGCUAUUUUAGGAACGUCGACUCUCUCUCCGAAGAAUUUUCAGAGAUUCUGAGAUUUUUUGCGGAAAAUUGAUACGGACGUUGCGGAAAAUCAGCGGAAAUUCAGAUGGGCUAAAUCGAUGGAAAUUGAGACUUCUAAGCCAAGCCUGUGAGUGUCAGGAAUUUAUAGAAAAUCGUUCGGGAUUUUUCUUCAUCAAGAUUGGACCUCAAUUUGGGAAAUUGAGUGAAGGAAUUUAUCCUAAAAAUUAGUGAAAUUCGGAUCAAUAAUGGGGAUGGAAUUUUGCACUUAAAUUGAGUUAUUUUGGUGGAUAAUUGAUUGGAAAGUAAUAGGGAACAUCCAAUUAAUGGAAUGGCUAAGGUUUGUCAAAAUUGGGCCCCUCCUUGGCUUCCUUCACACGCCUCUCCACCGCCUCUCUCCCUUCGUGCGAUGAGCGAAGACCGAUUGCAUCUGUCCUUUUCUUUCUUUCGUUUUGUCGAAGCUCCCUUCCCACGCUCUCUGCCAUUCCCACCAUCUCUUGUUCUCCACGUCCGCGAGCCCUGCUUCCUUCUGCCGAGUGUUGGCCAGCAAGUUCUAGCGCCCACAGUCAAUGGAAGACACGAGCAAGCUGCCCGUGUGUUGACUCCAACAAGUGGCCGAAGCUGCUUCAGCGAUCUUUCCCCCUGCAGCCACCACUUGUCCGUGUGCCAUCUUUGUUCGGUCAACUUCAACAAUCCACCGAAGCUGCUCCAUCCACGUCCACACGCCCCUGCAGCUCACCGAAACCCCAAGUUCCGGUUAACGGUGCUUCCUCCUCCAUCGGUUUGUUGACCGUAAACCCCCCACUCAUCCAUUUCAGCAUCACCGCAGCUCUCCACCCAAUCUCUCUCUCGCGUUGUUACUUCUUCGUUCAGUUCACUUCCGCACGUCCUCCACCGGCGAUUUCUUUCAGCUGCCGUGUCCGAAGUUCCUCGCCAAAGAAAACUGAGCAAUCUUCCUCCGAACCGAAGCCUCAUGAAGCAGCUGCUCCUUCAUCAUUGAUCUUCACCGAGUCAGGCCCAACAUCACCGUGGCUCAGCCCAUAUCAACGGCCCAGCAAGUUACCAUUCUUCUGCAACCCAUCUUCAUGUAAAGCCAGCCCAUUUGAAGUCCAUCAGUAGCCCAACAGAACAGUCUAAUUAAUUGGGUCUUCAGCCCAAUUCAGCAAGGCCCAAUUCUAGCAAGUUCAAUUGGUUUUAGCAGCCCAUUUUGGGCCCAAGAAGAAGGCCCAAGCCGCGACCAGCAGCCCGCAGAAGCCCAAGACCUAAACUCAGCCUUGCUGAGUUGUGUUGGGCCCGUUUUAGGCCCGGUCCGAGAGUCCGCCGACGCCGCCGAAAAUUAAGGUUUCGGCCGCCGUCGCGUCGUUGUCGCGGUGAACCGGUUUUCGCGAUACACCGGUGAGUUUAUACUCUAAACUCUGCUUAGUAGGUUAAUGACGUUUAAGGGGUGUUAGAUUUAUUUUAUUAGGAAUUAGGUGGGUAGUUAGAUUAAAUUAGAAAUUGAAUUAUUUAAUUGAGCAUGUUAGGUGGUUAGCAUGGUUUAGCUAAGGCCUAAAUAAAUUGUACUAUUUAUCUAGAAGGGUUCGGGAAUUUUCCGGGUCCGUAUUGGUUAUUAAUUUAAUGAUUUUGGCCUAGGUUAUUAUUUGUAGAAUUUAAAUUGAUUUAUUUAAUUAAUUUCAGUAAUUAAUUAAUUAUUAAUUAUUUUUCCAGAAAUUAGACCGGGAUAGCCAGUGACCGGAAUAUCGUGCUGAUUGCAAUGGUGUGGUCAAUUUCUGCAAUUGAGUGCUGAUUGGAUUUUUGGUAUUUAAUUCCAAAAUUGUGAAUUUCCAAUAUUUAUUCAGAAAAUCCCAGGUGUCGGGUUUUGAUACCGAAAAUGGUUUUUAGUACUAUAUGAAAUAGUGGGAUUUCAAAAAGGAGGAAUAUCAAUUUUUCUGGAUCAAGUUUACCGUGUACCCACACACAAGUAAUUUCAUGUGAAUUUCUAAUACGAAGAAAAAGGCCAGGCUCACCAUUUUAAUUGAAGCAUUUGAGUGCAAUGCACGGUGUCCUGGGCCAUAUUUGAGUGAUCGUGUGAUGGUUAUGAGAAAUCGUCCCGGGCUAUUGAGCUGGACGUUAUCCCUAUGUGGGAUACCCCCUGGACAACGGGAAGCCGGUCGCAGUUGAUUCUGGACCCUAUGCUCCUUCGGGAAAGCCGUCUGAUAAAGAGACGUUGCCGUGCUCAAUGGGGUGAGACGAUGCCUGGCAAUGCCAGAAGACCGCCGAACUGAGAGUAGGCCGUGCUAUAUGCCGAGAUCAAAUCUAAGAACGCAUGAUUAAUUGAGUGUGGCAUUUCAAUUACUGGAGCUUAUUUGUUGCUCAUGCUCUCGUGUUGUCUAUGAGAUAAAUUGUACUGACCUGCAGGGUGGAUCUGAGACGAGGUAAGUCUCCUUGAUUGUGUGAUUGCGGGCUUAGGACGCUUCUUGGCGUAUUUCCCUCCUAAUUGGGGUUUAGAGCUUAGACUCGCUGAGAUGAUAUCUCACCCCGUUGUGGGACAACAUUUUCAGGGUCGUCGAGUGGAGGACCUGGAGCUGAGAGGAGGUGAUCGGAAGCGUAGGUCAGUUAGGACCGCUUCUUUUUGGAAGGCCAGUCUUUUGUAGUCUUUGUCCAUAGACCUGUGUUCAUGACUCAGUGUAUAUAUAAAAGCAUGUUUGUUUGUGAAUCUAUUAUCCUGCCUUUCUAUCCCGAGAUGAUUACUGUCAGGGGAUUUCUUUUCGCUUCCGCAUGUGCAAUAAAAUGGAAAGGGUCGGCGACUCGUCCUGGGAAGUCGCAAAAUUUUUAUCGACCAGAUAGGGAUGGGCACGCGCUCAGGGUCCGGGGCGUGACAUACCCUUUUUAUGGUAUCAGAGCGAAGUUUGUAAUUGGAGUGAUACGGUGCGAUGGGUUCUUGGGAUAGUUAGUAGGAAUGGCUUUUAUAUUAUGCUGAUGCAUGUGACUGAUAGCUGUCUGGUAAAUUGAUUGUGAAAUCACUCAGUUUCUAAUUCAGUAUGGAAUUGGAAACAGGUGUUGUAGAUCGUCUACAGUAUGAGUGAUCAGGAGCCGAGAACUCCUAGGCAGAGGACCUUAUCCUCAGUGACUCGGGCUAGAACGCCUACAAGAGGCAGUACCCGAGGCGGUCAAGGUAGAGCGCAAGCUGAGGCUAGCGCGAGUGGUGUAGCACCACCACCAGUCCCGCCGGUUGAUGCCGGGGUAGCAGCCCCUGGUGAUCCUAGAUUCGAAGGGAUCAUGCAGGUGCUCCAGACUAUUGGUAAUCUGAUGGGGCAGCAGGCCUAGAACCAAGCUGCCGCAGCCGCUGCCGCACAAGCUGAAGUUCCAGAAGGAAAUGUAGUUGCAAACAGACCGAUUCAUAAGCUCGUUGAGCAUUUCCUAAAGUUGCAACCACCAAAGUUCACCGGGACAGGAGAUCCCGAGGCUGCGACCCGUUGGAUCGAAGGACUGGAAAAAGCAUUUGAGCUACUGAAGUGCUCUGAAGAAGAGAAGGUUACCCUUGCCGUGUAUCAGAUGCAGGAAGUUGCAAGUACUUGGUGGAAAGCCACCAGGAGAGAAGUAUUCCCAGAAGGCGUAGUCCUAGAGUGGAACGUCUUCAUUAGAGCAUUCAAUAACAAGUACUUCUCCAGCUGUGCCAAGCAAUUAAAGAUGGCGGAAUUUCUGCACCUCCGUCAAGGUCCAAUGACUGUGGACCAGUACGAGGCAAAGUUUGCUGAGCUUUCACAGUAUGCUCCUAGGUUGAUCCAGGAUCCCGAGGAGAAGGCAAUGAGAUUUAUAGAUGGCCUCCGACCAGAACUGAAAGAUCCACUGGUGCCAUUUGAUAUAAAGAACUACAAUGAGCUGUAUGGACGAGCUCAGCUGAUUGAGAAAAAUCUGAAUGAACGAGCUGCCGCAUCUGGAUCGCGGUUUAAUUCGAACCAAGAUAGAAAUCGGUUUGGGAAAAGACCGAUGACUGGAGGAAGAUACCCUGUUCCGCUCAAUAGGAAGGGUGGAGUAAGAAAAUCAACAUGGAGACAGAAUGGUGCCUGUCGCUUCUGCGGAAAGCGACAUGGGUCAGCCCCGUGCCCCUCUAGGCCGGGUGCUUGUUUUGAGUGUGGCCAACAGGGUCACAUGGCUAAAAAUUGUCCCAGAAGACCGAUGGGACCGCCACAGUUGCCGCCACCGCCACAGAUGAAUCAGAACCGGGGACUACCGCCACCGAUUGUACAGCAGGGUGGACUACUUAGGCCUCCAACUCAAGGAAGAACUUAUGCGAUCACAAGAGGACAGGCGGAGGAUGCGCCUAAUGUGAUUACAGGUACUAUUUCACUGAACAACCAUGCUGCUUAUGCUUUAUUUGACCCUGGUGCAACUCAUUCAUUUAUAGCUGAGCGGUAUGUUAAGUUGGUAGGAUUAAUUCCUGAGUUGUUGAAAUCAGUGAUUAGUAUAUCGACACCAUUAAAGGAUAAUGUGUUAGCUACAGUGGGUUGUCUUGGUUGCAUGUUAGCGAUUGGUGAGCGAGAGGGGAAGAUUGACUUGAUAGUCCUAGCCAUGUAUAACUUUGACCUAAUAAUUGGCAUGGACUGGCUCACCAAACAACGAGCUAAGCUAGACUGUUAUCGCAAGACGAUCCAGUUUAACCCGUUAGAGGGUGAAAGUUUCGAGUUUAUUGGGAGCCGAGGAGGACCCUCGAUUUCCCUAAUCUCGUCACUAGAGGCAACCCGGUUGUUAGAUGAGGGUUGUCAAGGUUAUCUGGCGACUGUCGUGGACACGACAGUUGAGGAGCUGAAAAUCGAAGACAUUGCAGUGGUUCAGGAAUUUCCAGAUGUAUUCCCGAAAGAAUUGCCAAGUCUACCGCCAGAAAGAGAAAUAGAGUUUGUGAUUGAGUUAGCCCCCGGGACAGAGCCAAUCUCUAAGGCUCCUUACCGGAUGGCUUUAUCGGAAUUGAAAGAACUAAAGGUGCAGAUGCAGGAAUUAUUGGAUAAGGGAUUCAUACGUCCCAGUGCAUCACCUUGGGGAGCACCAGUUCUGUUCGUGAAAAAGAAAGAUGGUUCAUUGCGCCUGUGCAUUGACUAUCGACAACUCAAUCAAGUGACGAUCAAGAACAAGUAUCCACUUCCGAGGAUUGAUGACUUGUUUGAUCAAUUGCAAGGAGCGUCGAUAUUUUCGAAAAUCGACCUGAGGACAGGAUAUCAUUAGUUGAGAAUCAGAAAAGAAGACAUUCCAAAGUUAGCAUUUCGUACUCGGUACGGCCAUUAUGAAUUCACGGUCAUGCCAUUUGGAUUGAUGAACGCCCCAGCUGCUUUUAUGGAUUUGAUGAACCGAGUUUUCAAGGAAUACUUGGAUCAGUUCGUGAUCGUGUUCAUUGAUGACAUUCUGGUGUACUCUAGAAGUCCAGAGGAGCAUGAAGGACAUUUGAGAUUGGUAUUGCAGACUCUAAGGACUCAUGAGUUGUAUGCUAAAUUCAGCAAGUGCGAGUUUUGGUUGACUCGUGUUGCUUUCUUGGGUCACGUGAUUUCAGGAGAAGGAAUCUCCGUGGACCCAAGCAAGAUAGAAGCAGUGAUCAAUUGGCCAAGACCGACAACAGUAACAGAAAUCAGAAGUUUUCUGGGUUUGGCAGGGUAUUACAGACGAUUUGUGGAAGGUUUCUCAUCAUUAGCCUCGCCUCUAACAAAGCUCACGAAGAAAAACGAGAAGUUCAUAUGGACAGAUAAGUGCGAGCGUAGUUUUCAAGAGCUGAAAGAAAAGCUGACUACUGCACCGGUACUGACGAUUCCAUCUGGUCCUGGAGGAUUUGAGAUCUAUAGUGAUGCGUCUUUUAGAGGAUUGGGUUGCGUGUUGAUGCAACAUGGUAAAGUUGUUGCAUACGCGUCUCGUCAGUUGAGACCUCAUGAAUUGAAUUACCCGACGCAUGACUUAGAACUCGCAGCCAUCAUAUUUGCAUUGAAGAUUUGGAGGCAUUAUUUGUGUGGAGAAAAGUUCCAGAUCUUCACUGACCAUCAGAGUCUCAAGUAUUUGUUCUCUUAGAAGGAGUUGAACAUGAGGCAGCGCCGAUGGAUGGAACUGUUGAAGGACUAUGACUGUGAUAUUUUGUAUCAUCCCGGAAAAGCGAACAAGGUCGCCGAUGCACUGAGUCGAAAGUCCUCAGUUGCACAGAUGGUACUUAAGGAAUGGACUUUAAUCGAGAAGGCUAGAGAUUCGGUUUUCAAAUUUGAGGUAGGCCGCCUUUCAAAUCUUAUGGCCACCCUCAGAAUUGAGCCGGAAGUGCAAGUCAGAAUCAAGAUGCUUCAGUCAACAGAUCUGGUUAUUCAGAAGAUCCUGCAAGAGGAUACCGAUAAAAGAAAAGCUGACUUUCAAAUUUCUGAGGACGGAACGUUGAGGUUCCAAGGACGUUUGGUUGUACCUGACAAUGUAGAGCUUAAAGAAGAAAUUUUAUCUGAAGCACACCGUAGCAGUUACAGCAUUCAUCCUGGCAGUACGAAAAUGUAUCAGAAUCUGCGUCAACAUUAUUGGUGGUCUGGUAUGAAGGCGGACAUCGCCAAGCAUGUCGCCAAAUGUCUGACCUGUCAGCAAGUAAAGGCUCAACACUGUAAGCCGGGAGGACUUUUGCAACCUCUCGCGAUCCCAGAAUGGAAAUGGGAGCAUAUCACAAUGGACUUCGUGACUGGACUACCAAGGAGUCAAAGAGGAAAUGAUUCAAUUUGGGUAGUGGUCGACAGGCUAACAAAGUCGGCUCACUUCAUUACAGUACGAAAGGACUUGAGUCUGGAUAGACACGCAGACCUAUAUGUGCGUCAGGUAGUUCGUAUGCAUGGAGUGCCGGUUACGAUAACUUCAGAUAGAGACCCGAGGUUUACUGCUGCUUUUUGGAAGAGCUUGCAAAGUGCUUUAGGUACAAAGCUACAGUACAGUAUGGCCUAUCAUCCACAGACCGAUGGCCAGUCUGAGAGGACUAUUCAAACUCUCGAGGACAUGCUGAGAGCUUGCGUAAUAGACUUCAAAGGAAGUUGGGAAGAUCAGCUUCACCUGGUAGAGUUUGCCUACAACAACAGUUAUCAGCAGAGCAUCCGGAUGGCUCCAUUCGAAGCGUUGUAUGGCCGAGCGUGCAGAACACCAGUGUGUUGGGAUGAAGUUGGGGAAAGGAAGAUAACAGGCCCAGAGUUGAUUCAGCAGUCAGUAGAUGCCGUGGCAGUGAUUAGAGGCAGAUUAAAGACAGCGCAGAGCAGGCAGAAAAGUUAUGCAGAUAAGCGUCGAAGGUCUUUAGAGUUUCAAGUUGGUGAUCACGUUUUUCUGAAAGUGUCACCAAUGAGAGGAACUUCGCGCUUUGGUAAGAAAGGCAAACUGAGUCCGAGGUACGUAGGUCCGUUUGAGAUUCUUGAAAGAAUCGGGAACCUAGCAUAUCGUCUUGCAUUGCCGCCAAGAUUGGCGCAAGUGCAUGACGUUUUUCACGUGUCGAUGUUAAGGAAGUAUGAGCCUGACCCGACCCACGUGCUCAAUUUUGAGGAAUUCGACGUGGAUGACCGUGUGUCAUACGUGGAAAGCCCGGUUCAGAUUGUCGAUCGCAAGGAGCAAGUUCUGCGUACAAAGACCAUUCCGUUGGUCAAAGUGGUCUGGCAACACCACGGUACAGAAGGAGCGACAUGGGAGACUGAGGAGUCAAUGAGAGAAUUGUACCCCCACCUUUUUGAUCAAGUCUUGUAAUAGGUUUAAAUUUCGAGGACGAAAUUUUUAUAAGAGGGGAAGAGUUGUGACAGCCUGAAUUUUCAUAACUUGUUUUCGAUUAAAUAAAUCGGGCCUUUCAUCGAAACGCUAAUAGUGCUAUUCUCUGAGCUGAUCACUCAUGAGAUAACUGGACUAUCUGGAGAAACAAGUAGGGAAUCUAAAUGCAAUUGCACUUGAGAAUUCGACCAAGAAUCGACUGCUCAACCGUGUUGAUCUGCAAGGGUCAUUACGGCACCGUCAGAGAUCGAUUAGAAAUCAAAGAUAGGUCGAUUCGACUGAGAUAUGUGAUCAAAUUGUGGGUGAUUCCACUUGAUUGAAAAAUUCUCAUCGAUCGGCACUAAAUUGAUUUUCUGUCGUUUUGGUACCCGGUGCCCGUAAUUGAAACCUUGAGAUUUUCACGACAACUGAGAGUUGCUAAUGGGUUGAAGAUGUACUUUGUGACUCGAGAUAAAUCGAUCACAGGUCAAUUGCACCAAAAAUUCAUAAAAGUUAUCCGGUAGAUUAGAUCACGCUAAAAGCGCGCCGGAUUGAAAAUAACCGCAAAUUUGAACCCGAUUUCAGAAAUUGAAAGUUCUGAGCUGUCACAAGCUAUUUUAGGAACGUCGACUCUCUCUCCGAAGAAUUUUCAGAGAUUCCGAGAUUUUUUGCGGAAAAUUGAUACGGACGUUGCGGAAAAUCAGUGGAAAUUCAGAUGGGCUAAAUCGAUGGAAAUUGGGACUUCUAAGCCAAGCCUGUGAGUGUCAGGAAUUUAUAGAAAAUCGUUCGGGAUUUUUCUUCAUCAAGAUUGGACCUCAAUUUGGGAAAUUGAGUGAAGGAAUUUAUCCUAAAAAUUAGUGAAAUUCGGAUCAAUAAUUGGGGAUGGAAUUUUGCACUUAAAUUGAGUUAUUUUGGUGGAUAAUUGAUUGGAAAGUAAUAGGGAACAUCCAAUUAAUGGAAUGGCUAAGGUUUGUCAAAAUUGGGCCCCUCCUUGGCUUCCUUCACACGCCUCUCCACCGCCUCUCUCCCUUCGUGCGAUGAGCGAAGACCGAUUGCAUCUGUCCUUUUCUUUCUUUCGUUUUGUCGAAGCUCCCUUCCCACGCUCUCUGCCAUUCCCACCAUCUCUUGUUCUCCACGUCCGCGAGCCCUGCUUCCUUCUGCCGAGUGUUGGCCAGCAAGUUCUAGCGCCCACAGUCAAUGGAAGACACGAGCAAGCUGCCCGUGUGUUGACUCCAACAAGUGGCCGAAGCUGCUUCAGCGAUCUUUCCCCCUGCAGCCACCACUUGUCCGUGUGCCAUCUUUGUUCGGUCAACUUCAACAAUCCACCGAAGCUGCUCCAUCCACGUCCACACGCCCCUGCAGCUCACCGAAACCCCAAGUUCCGGUUAACGGUGCUUCCUCCUCCAUCGGUUUGUUGACCGUAAACCCCCCACUCAUCCAUUUCAGCAUCACCGCAGCUCUCCACCCAAUCUCUCUCUCGCGUUGUUACUUCUUCGUUCAGUUCACGUCCGCAUGUCCUCCACCGGCGAUUUCUUUCAGCUGCCGUGUCCGAAGUUCCUCGCCAAAGAAAACUGAGCAAUCUUCCUCCGAACCGAAGCCUCAUGAAGCAGCUGCUCCUUCAUCAUUGAUCUUCACCGAGUCAGGCCCAACAUCACCGUGGCUCAGCCCAUAUCAACGGCCCAGCAAGUUACCAUUCUUCUGCAACCCAUCUUCACGUAAAGCCAGCCCAUUUGAAGUCCAUCAGUAGCCCAACAGAACAGUCUAAUUAAUUGGGUCUUCAGCCCAAUUCAGCAAGGCCCAAUUCCAGCAAGUUCAAUUGGUUUUAGCAGCCCAUUUUGGGCCCAAGAAGAAGGCCCAAGCCGCGACCAGCAGCCCGCAGAAGCCCAAGACCUAAACUCAGCCUUGCUGAGUUGUGUUGGGCCCGUUUUAGGCCCGGUCCGAGAGUCCGCCGACGCCGCCGAAAAUUAAGGUUUCGGCCGCCGUCGCGUCGUUGUCGCGGUGAACCGGUUUUCGUGAUACACCGGUGAGUUUAUACUCUAAACUCUGCUUAGUAGGUUAAUGACGUUUAAGGGGUGUUAGAUUUAUUUUAUUAGGAAUUAGGUGGGUAGUUAGAUUAAAUUAGAAAUUGAAUUAUUUAAUUGAGCAUGUUAGGUGGUUAGCAUGGUUUAGCUAAGGCCUAAAUAAAUUGUACUAUUUAUCUAGAAGGGUUCGGGAAUUUUCCGGGUCCGUAUUGGUUAUUAAUUUAAUGAUUUUGGCCUAGGUUAUUAUUUGUAGAAUUUAAAUUGAUUUAUUUAAUUAAUUUCAGUAAUUAAUUAAUUAUUAAUUAUUUUUCCGGAAAUUAGACCGGGAUAGCCAGUGACCGGAAUAUCGUGCUGAUUGCAAUGGUGUGGUCAAUUUCUGCAAUUGAGUGCUAAGUUAUGCAAAUUGAGUGCUGAUUGGAUUUUUGGUAUUUAAUUCCAAAAUUGUGAAUUUCCAAUAUUUAUUCAGAAAAUCCCAGGUGUCGGGUUUUGAUACCGAAAAUGGUUUUUAGUACUAUAUGAAAUAGUGGGAUUUCAAAAAGGAGGAAUAUCAAUUUUUCUGGAUCAAGUUUACCGUGUACCCACACACAAGUAAUUUCAUGUGAAUUUCUAAUACGAAGAAAAAGGCCAGGCUCACCAUUUUAAUUGAAGCAUUUGAGUGCAAUGCACGGUGUCCUGGGCCAUAUUUGAGUGAUCGUGUGAUGGUUAUGAGAAAUCGUCCCGGGCUAUUGAGCUGGACGUUAUCCCUAUGUGGGAUACCCCCUGGACAACGGGAAGCCGGUCGCAGUUGAUUCUGGACCCUAUGCUCCUUCGGGAAAGCUGUCUGAUAAAGAGACGUUGCCGUGCUCAAUGGGGUGAGACGAUGCCUGGCAAUGCCAGAAGACCGCCGAACUGAGAGUAGGCCGUGCUAUAUGCCGAGAUCAAAUCUAAGAACGCAUGAUUAAUUGAGUGUGUCAUUUCAAUUACUGGAGCUUAUUUGUUGCUCAUGCUCUCGUGUUGUCUAUGAGAUAAAUUGUACUGACCUGCAGGGUGGAUCUGAGACGAGGUAAGUCUCCUUGAUUGUGUGAUUGCGGGCUUAGGACGCUUCUUGGCGUAUUUCCCUCCUAAUUGGGGUUUAGAGCUUAGACUCGCUGAGAUGAUAUCUCACCCCGUUGUGGGACAACAUUUUCAGGGUCGUCGAGUAGAGGACCUGGAGCUGAGAGGAGGUGAUCGGAAGCGUAGGUCAGUUAGGACCGCUUCUUUUUGGAAGGCCAGUCUUUUGUAGUCUUUGGCCAUAGACCUGUGUUCAUGACUCAGUGUAUAUAUAAAAGCAUGUUUGUUUGUGAAUCUAUUAUCCUGCCUUUCUAUCCCGAGAUGAUUACUGUCAGGGGAUUUCUUUUCGCUUCCGCAUGUGCAAUAAAAUGGAAAGGGUCGGCGACUUGUCCUAGGAAGUCGCAAAAUUUUUAUCGACCAGAUAGGGAUGGGCAUGCGCUCGGGGUCCGGGGCGUGACAAUAGGCUCAUACCCAAUCCAACAAGGGCAAGGAGUAUUGCUCAACUGAGAAGGAUUGGACAAGGAGUACUCUUGGCAAACUUUUAAGAUAGCUAAUGGUGCACGGAAAUAACGCAACAAUGCAGAAUAUGCAGUAUCAGGUUGCUAUGAAGCCUCCAACUUUAUAGAUUUUCUUAUUUACUUUCUUUUUUCUUUCUUUCUUUUUCCGUCCUACCGUUUGUGUGUUUCUUUGGGUGUUAAUCCAAUGUCCCCACUCCAUGGCUACAACAUUUACAAGAGCCAAUUCACUGUGCUACUAUUGGUGGAGUUUUUUCUGUUCUUCAUCUUCGUUUUUAGUAAAGACAGAGGAUUGAUUUGACAAUACUAGUAAUAAAAAAGUCAUUGAUGUUGUAAUGGCUGGCUUUUGACUUAGUCAAUAUUGAUUAGUAAAGAGAAAAAAAAAAGUGGACUCAAGAAAAGGAGUACACGUUCAAAAGAGGCAAAUAAAGAAAAAAAAAAGAGAAAAGGAGAGAAACAAAGGCGAAAGAGUAGGAAGGGAUAGGAAAAGAAAGAAGAGUAAAUGCUAUGGCACCUCGUCAAGUUAGAUUAACUUUAUCUCGCAAUGCCCAAUUAAUCUAAUUAGAGAAAUUUUCAAAAUAAAGCUCUAAUUUUAGAUCCUUGUGAAUUUUAAGCCAAUUGGUUAAUUCUACGAGUUGUUAAGCUAAGAAAUUAUGGGGUAUUAAUAGUUUAGGGUAUUGUAAAACUAUAGGAUUUUACAUAACUUGAUUCAAGUUUAUAGUUUGCCCGAAAUGAAUUUUCAAAAUUAUGCGCGCAUGCCGUAACAUUAGCGAAUUUCCUAGUUUACCAAUGAUUAUGGCCCAUCUUAAGCUAUCUUUAGAGUUGGCAAAACUUAGGGAAUCUAAUUAUCUCGAAGGGUCUUUCAUUAGAGAGAAGAUUUGCUAGAAUCAUGGUUUAAUGAAGAGAGUUGUGGUGCAAAAAAUUUUUGACACGCAAGCUAGGCAUAGCGGAUAGUUUUGAAUGACUACUACAACAAGCCUUUCAUUGUUGCAUAGGAGUCGAUUGGUUGACGAACGAGCAUAGUUUAGAUCAUCAAUUAAAGUAGUGUUUUGCUUUGUCUUGACAUCAAUUCUCGUUUAAUUGAUAGAAUAUUGUCAACUCAAAUAGCUACAUUAUUUGGCUUUGAGUAUUCCUAAUUGAGUGGUGUUGAUCUCUUUUAUAGUAUUAUAAAAUCCAUGACUUAAAAUAAUAGUAAUUUGAUAUUAUAUAUCUGUUUGUGUAUAUAUAUAUGUGUGUGUGUAUUGAACUAAGAAGAACAUAAUUGUUGCAUAAAACUAGAUCAAGUGUUUAUUAUUUUUUAGUUAUAGUACGAUGGUCUGAUAAACUUUUCUUGAAAGGUAAUGUGUAUUAUAUCAUAAAAAUACUUAUGAGAUAAAUUUUGAAAACAUUAGAGAAAUACUUUACAAAAAGGGAUUUUGAUUGAUGAAUUGAGUUGCAAAAGAUUAGAUAUUUUGGUUUAUGAUAUAGAUAGGUUUGGUGGAUUUUGGAGGAUAAUGUUGUGAGUUUGUGUUGAUGCUCAUUAUCUUUGGGGGCCCAUUUGAGGGGUUUGUAAGUAUGUGUACUAGUUUUAGGAUAUCUUUGUGGGUUGGCUACUAGGAAUAUAAGUAGAGACCUAGCCAAUGAAAGAAUCUUAGUUGCCUUUAUCAUAGGGCAUUGAGCAUGAUGGACCAUUGACGUAUGAUUUGAUGAGAUUGAUUAGUGGACUGAACCAUUAAUACUUAUUUUGAUAUUAUUGAUGAAAUUGGUAUUUUUUGUUAUUAAUAUAGUUAUGUUGAAGUAAUAUAGUUCAUUUUCAUCUUGUAAAUUUGUUAUAUAUUGGAUUUAGUGUAAAUGAGUUACCUUUUUGUGUCCUAAACAUUCAUAGUGGAUCCCUGAUUUGUUUUGAAGAGAUUUGUACUACUCAUUGGCCUAUAAUUGCCCAUUCCAUUUAUCUUACUUCUAUUUUUAGGUUCUUCAGGUAGUCGUUAAUAGGACAAGAGUGUUUACAUUUUUAGGAUGAUAUUUUGAUAGUGGGAUUUUUUUAUAUGAGUUGUUUAUGUCUGCAUUGAACUAUGAGUUUAUUUGUUAGUUGGAGAUAUAUAUGUGUUUUUUUUUUUUUGGAUUAUAGAAACUCUAAUCUUGUAAACAAAUGACACUUUAUCAAAUAUAUGGAUGUAUAUAUUGCGAUAUCAAGUUGAGUUAUAGUUACGAUUGAAGCUACAUUAUUUGGAUGAAAUGAUGGCCGUGUCAUCCCUUAUACUUGUUGGAGUCGGAUGUGUGAUAAAUGUUAUAAGUUGAGAUCGGUAUUUUAGAUCUUAAUUGCGUGAAGUAUAGAAUUUUCCUUUCAAUGUGCCUCUGCCGCUGCUUCAAUUUUCACUUGAGGCCUCCCUUUAUCCCGCGCCACUGCCACUGCUUGAAUUGUUACAAAGAGCAACUCCCUUAAUAUGCCAAAUCGUGGCGAAAUCGGGUGGGAAUUCGUUUAAUUCUGAUGAAUCUUCACCAUUUGCCUUGGUUUCUUGCGCCUCCAUGCAGAUUGGCGCCAGCUGCAGCAAAAUGGGCUUGGUUGGGAUCACUGGGAAUUUAUGAGACCGGUUAGCUUGUGGCCAGCUUUGGCACUAUUCACCGGAAAUUUGAGCAUUAUCAGGUUGAUUAUCGAGACGCGCUUGUCAGCACCGCCAUUAGAUCUACCGAAUGAGAAUGCUUUUCCGUAAUCCAUGGAGGAGCACCGGCAGCCACGCCACCAGCUUUAACUCUAGACAAAUCAGCUUUCUUACGAUGAUUUACUAUGUUUCCCAAAGAGAUUCGGGAUUAACAGUAGUACUUUAGCUUGACUUUAGAAAAAUCAGCUUUCUUGCAACGAUUUACCAUGUUUCCCUGAGAGAUUCAGGAUGAGCAAAAGUGCGAAAGAAGAAAGAACAUAACAAAUCAGGAGAUUCACAAAAAUAUUUAAAAUCAUAUUAUUUCAAUUCAGUUUGUCCAAGACAUAUGACUGAUCGUGUUACUAAAGAUGAUUAGAGAGACCGGACUGGUAUGUCAACAUUUUCAAAUAAAAUUAGCCGAAAAGAAUAUGUUUGAGUAUAAAAAAAAAUUGAAUUGAAAAAGUCUAAGAUUAUAUCGAAAUUCUUUAAUUUAAGACUAAAUUGGUAAUUUUCCCCCUCUGAUCUAAUCUUUCCUUCCCUCACUUUUUCCUAGCUCUUUCCUAAAUCCCAAUGAUUAAAACAGGUUCAUCUUCGAGAGUCUACUAUCCAUGUGAACUUCUAUUCAUGGAUUCAAUUGCGAUCCUCUUAGACAUUAAACGGUAAGAUGAAGAACAUGAAACCACCACUUCUCUUAUUAUUCCUCUUCAUCUCCGUCCUGCUCGAAGCACUCGGAGUCUCAGUCAUCGGCGACAAUGUUGGCGCAUACUUGCUUGUUAAUGAUAUCACCGUCAACUGUGGCUCCCUCGGCAACUCCUCCGUGUCCAAGGGGACUUGGAUCGGGGACAGCGAGGAUGGUUCGACCUACUUUCCAAUCGAUGAAACUCAUUCCUCUAUCGUUGCAAGUGCAAACCGUUCAUCUCCCCCUGUCCACAACCGCAUCCCACACGACACUGCUCGUCUCUCCCUCUCAGAAUUCGUCUACACCUUUCGCGGGGGCCAAAAUUGGUUCGCCUCCACUUCUUCGCUUCGGAUUACCUCAACUUUGGCCAUGACGAUUCAUUCUUCUCGGUCAAGGCUGCUGGCUACACUCAGCUCCGCAACUUCAGCGCUUUCCUCUUUUCCGAUCACACCGGCUUCACGACCUUCCGCAAAGAGUCCUACUUAACCUAGUAGCUGACCAGAUAUUGAACGUCACGUUUGCUCCCACUCCUGGUAACCCAGACGUGUAUGCUUUUGUGAAUGGAAUUGAAGUUAUUUCCAAAUUGUUACGAUUUUGCGAUGUCACUAAGCGCAAAACGUCUUUAAUUACCAACUUUUAUGACCGUUUGUCAUGGAAAAGAAGAAAUUGUCAUAAAUUGAGAAUUUCUUUACAGAGAGUAAUGACGUCAUGACAAGAGCAAAACGUCCAAAAUUAGGAUUUCAAAUACAAUUAUUUACAAAGGGUUAUGUUUGUUUGCCCCAAAUAAGGAUAAAAUGUCAUAAUCUUGUAUUUUUUUCCUUCAACUACAACGCUUUGCGAAACUAACCAUGAACAAAAUGUUGCAAAUUUUAAAAUUUUUUAAUUACAAUGAUUUAAAAAAAUGUCAACAUUCCAUUGUAACCAAAAACUUGACAUUGUGAAUUUAAAUCCUUUCAAACUACGAUGGCUUAUAAAGGUUUGCAACAAUCAAUGUAACUAACAAUAUAACCUCAUAAAACUUUAUUAAAUUUGAUUUUUACUGUGCCAUGAUGUCAAUAUUCUAUGGGUCUGUCACUCAUUUGCUAGUGCUUAAAGUAUUGUAAAUUUUUCGACAAAAAAAAAGUAUCGUAAAUUUCAUUUUAGUAUGUCGGAUGUACAUUUUUUAGUAUCAGACAUCUAACUUUCGACAGUUGGGAUCCUUCCAUCUUAAUCUAAUGGUUGACAUUUAUGGGGUACGAUAUAAGAUUAAAAUCUUAGAAGUCUCUGACUAAGCAUCAAUAGAUUUAUCCGUAUACGAGACGUCAAUAAAGCGUUUGAUUAUAUUUCUGUUACAUAAAUAAUUUUACUCCUUGAAAGGACAAAAGUUGAAAAUGGAAGGACGCGAUAUAGAAAACACGGUUUGGUGGCGGUCCCUUUUUUUUUUUUUUUUUGAACAGGUGUUGUGGUCCCUUGAGAGAGAGCAUUCUUGCAUGGGACCUGGCAGUCGUACCGCUGACCUGACGUGACCUUCCUAAGGCAAUUGAACCUUCCACGAAAAGCGCACCUGGAAGGGCACAAAUCCCGUCCGCUGAUUUUCUUGUGAUCGGCGAGGGCUCUAUCCCCUUGCAGAUAUCUUAGCGACGACUUUGGUCUUCCCCUAAUCUCGUCGCUAGUGCCGGCCUUCUCUUCCGCUCUUCUUCCUAAUUCCCCGUUAGUCAAAACUUUUCAUCUCCGAGACCUCGCUCUCCUUGUGAUUUUCAUCGAUUCGUCUGCGACCCUUUGUCGUCGAGCAGCGAGAUGAAGAACAUGAAACCACCACUUCUACUAUUCAUCUUCAUCUCGGUCUCGCUCGAAGCACUCCCGAUCUCAGUCACUGGCAACAACGUUGACGCUUACCGGCCGACCGAUGAUAUUGCCGUCGACUGCGGCUCCUCCACCAGCUCCACUGUGGAGAACCGGAAUUGGAUUGGAGACGCCGCCAACCGUUCGGACUACUCUCCAAUUGGGAAAACUCACUCCUCUAUCACUACACAGGCAAACAUUUCAUCUCCCAGAGUCCCUGGCACCGCCCCAUACCUCACGGCUCGCCUCUCCCGCUCCGAGUUCGUCUACACCUUCCACGUCACCGCAGGGCCCAAAUUCGUUCGCCUACACUUCUUCCCUUCGGAUUACCCCAACUUCCGCCGUGUUGAUUCCUUCUUCUCAGUCGAGGCCGCUGGCUACACCCUGCUCCGCAGCUUCAGCGCUUCCCUCUUUGCUGAUUCCACCCCCUCCGCGGGCUUCUUCUCUAAAGAGUUCAGCUUAAAUGUCGGAGAGGACCAGAUAUUGAUCAUAACGUUCACUCCCACUCCUGGUAAUUCAGACGCGUAUGCUUUCGUGAAUGGAAUCGAAGUCGUUUCCAUGCCCGAAAGUCUCUACUACAACACCGUCGUCGACUCAACCGAGGGAAUCAAGUUGCCAGGUCAGCUGGUGCCAUACACCUUGGAUACCACUAAAGUUCUCGAAGCGGUGAAGCGCUUGAACGUGGGAGGACAGUUUGUCGGUCCAGCUCAUGACACAGGAAUGUACAGGACCUGGGAAGCAGAUGACGAGUACGUGACUUCCUCGGACAUCGGAGUUUUGCCAGUUAACAUAAGUAUCCAACUCAAUUACGGUGAGCAAGUGCCAAAUUACACGGCUCCAGAUCCCGUAUACACUACUGCAAGGACCAUGGGAACGGACAAAAGUAUCAAUCUGAGCUACAACCUCACGUGGUCCGUCGAGGUGGAGACGAACUUCUAUUACUUGGUCCGGUUACACUUUUGCGAAUUCCAGAUAGAGAUAAAUGAGCCCUUAGACAGGGUUUUCAAGAUUUUUCUAGAUUCACAAUUGGUCGAGGACCAUGCGGAUGUCAUUAGUUGGAGCGGGAAGGGCGUGCCCAUCUAUAGAGAUUUUGCAGUAGCCCUCCUGGAUCACAGCCAAAAGAAAAGAACCAACCUCUCCGUCGCGUUGGGCGCACUUCCAGAUGGUUCUACUCUUUACUCUGAUGCCAUCUUGAAUGGCCUCGAGAUUUUCAAGAUCAGCGAUCCAGACGGGAAUCUCGUAGGGCUGAACCCGGAUCUGGUCCCGAAUAAAGUGCCAGGACCUCCACUGGCAAGCAAGGCACCGUCGAGCCUCAGCAAAGCAGUAAAAAUUGCCAUCGUUGCUGGUGGAACUUCGGGCUUCACCAUACUCUCUCUCCUGGCUUUCUUCCUUUACCGGCGACGAAACAGAGGUAAGGAUUCGACCUCGAGCAACGGCACCACAUGGUGGGGCCCGGUCUCCUACGUGAUGACCAAGUCAACGAAGACCCAGGGGUCGUCCCUGUCGUCCGAUUUGUGCCGCCACUUCUCGCUGGCGGAGAUCAGAGCGGCCACGAACAACUUCGACAAGGUGUUUAUCAUCGGCGUGGGUGGGUUCGGCAACGUGUACAAGGGCUACGUCGAUGGCGGGGCCACCCAAGUGGCGAUCAAGCGGCUCAACCAGGGAUCGCAGCAGGGCCUUCAUGAGUUCAGGACCGAGAUCGAGAUGCUCUCGCAGCUCCGGCACCUCCACCUGGUCUCCCUGAUUGGGUUCUGCGAGGACGCGGGAGAGAUGAUCCUCGUGUACGACUACAUGGCACGCGGGACUCUCAGCAGCCAUCUCUACAACACCGAUAAUCCCCCACUCCCCUGGAAGCAGCGGCUCGAGAUCUGCAUAGGCGCCGCGUGGGGGCUCCACUACCUCCACAGCGGUGCCAAGCACACCAUCAUACAUCGCGACGUGAAGACGACCAACAUCCUGCUCAACGAGAAGUGGGUUGCCAAGGUGUCCGACUUUGGGCUCUCGAAGGUCGGAACCACGAGCGAGUCUAAGACGCACGUCAGCACGGCCGUGAAGGGCACCUUCGGGUACCUGGACCCGGAGUACUACAGGCGCCAGCGACUGACUGACAAGUCCGACGUCUAUUCCUUCGGCGUGGUGCUGUUCGAAGUGCUGUGCGCAAGGCCUGCCGUGAGCCGGAUGGCCCCGAUGGAGCAGAUCAGCCUGGCUGAGUGGGCCCAGAGUUGUUGUAAGAGCGGGUCCGUCGAAGAAAUGGUGGACCCGCACCUGAAGGGGGCUAUCGCCCUCGAGUGCCUCAACAAGUUCUGCGAGAUCGCUAUGAGCUGCUUGCAGGACGAGGGGGCCAAGCGGCCAUCCAUGAACGACGUUGUGUGGGGCCUCAAUUUCGCACUGCAGCUACAGGUGAGCACAGAGCUGGAAGUGAAGGAUCAUGCGGGUGUGUCAGUGCAUGAUAGCGAUGACAGCGACCAUGACGCAGCUUCGAUCAGAGGUAGCGGCAGCGAUGAGGCGAUCAACACUAGUGAUAGCGAUAGUGGUGGUUGGAAGAGCAGUAGGGAAACUGCGACGUCGACCAGAGCCGGAAGCAAUGAUGUUUGUGAUGAGAGUAUGACUAGUCAUGACUGAGAGAAGUUGCCUUGAGAAAAUAUUAGGUGCUCAAGUGUGACGCUCAAAACGUUAUUUGACACGUGUUUCUUAUAUUAUUACUCUCUUUUAACAUAUGAAAGCGUAAUUAAAUAUUUACUAUUAUUUUCUUAACAAUUAAAGGCCUUACAAGUAUAAUCAUCAUAUUGAUGCCUCUUUUGUUUAUACCACAUUUGAGGUCAUAAUCUUAUUAUAUUACGAGCAAACAAACAAAAAUUUGGAUAGGGGUGGGGAGACCUAUAUUAUACAAUACUUCUAAAAGUCUGCCUAUAUAAACGUAGUCUCGGAUCGAUAACUUCUCCAUUUGUUGUGUCUCCAUCGCCAAGUCUUGUUACUGGGAAAUGAAUUGAAAAGGAACUCACUCUAGCAAACCUCCUACAUCAACCCACAUAAUAGAACUACACUUGAAAUAUAUUAUUCCAUAUUUUGAUUCAAACAUAUUUCAUAAAGACCUUCAUAAUUCAUAGACUUUAUAGCGUAAAGGUCGAAAGGUGUUCAUUCUACAUGUUUGAAAAAUAAAAAGAAUGAGCCAAAACCAAAUAAAUGAAAUUUCUAGUUUUAAGUUAAAAGAAUUCUCUUACCACUUCAUCUGAUAUACACAAAGUGAAUGCAUAAUCAUCCGAUAAGUGUGAUAAAAAUAUAAGUAGGCUUUACCUUUUCCAUUUUCAUUUACCAUAGAAAUUGUUAACCAACAAUACAUCCAUUUAGACUCAUGCAUAUGCACGCUAUGUUUCACAUAAACAAACAAACAAUAUAAAUAAUAUUUGAUUCUACACAUGAUAAUGCAUUUUAUUCAUUAAUAUUUCCUCCUCUCGAACUUUCCUAUGCAUCCCAACUAUUAGGACAUCUCAAUUUCGAGGUAUUCUACAAACUUCCACCACAGAAUGUCCCCACCAUAGGGCGUCUCAACUCCGUAGACAUUUCGAAACACUCUUCCGGACAUCCCAACUGGACAUCCCGCAAACUACCAUCAUGGGGCAUCGUCACGCACCACUAUAUGAGUGACGGAAUCACAUUAAUAUUAUUUAAAGCCAUAAAAUAUAUAUACUUACAAGCAUAUCACACAUAUCUCAACUCAAUUUAAUACAUUAAACAAAUAAUCGUAAAUGAAAUAACAUAUAGCCCAUACUUUGGUCAUUAAAGUUUGGAGAUCCAAAUGAGUACAUUUUAAAUUUGGCCAUUAGCGAGAUCCGAAUGAAUAAAUAUACUCUGGAAAUAAAGUUUGAACAUGUAAAUGGGUACAUUUUGAGUUAGAAUAACAAGUGCAUUAUGGUCGUAAAGUCUGAAUAAUCAAAAAGGUAAAUUCUGGCUUAAUAGAAGCUUCUAGAACAAAAGAACAAAUUCAAUAAUGAAUGGAUUUACAAAUGAAUAGAAUCAACAAAUAAAUAGAUUCGACAAAGAAUAGAUUUAUAUUUAGUAAAGUUUGUCUGAAUCAAUGGAUAGAUUUAUUAAAAAAACCGAUUCACAUGUUGGCAGAUUCAAUAAGAAAUAGAUUCAUACUCAGUAAAGUUUGUCUAAACCAAUAAACAAAUUUAUCAACGAACAUAUUCACAAGUUGGCAAAUUUAACAAGGAAUAGAUUCAUACCCAUUUAAAGUCUGUUUGAACUAAUAAACAUAUUUAUGAAUGAAUAGAUUCAUAGAUUGGCAUAUUCAAUAGGUGAACAGAUUCGACCAAAUGAGUAGAUUCACAAAAGGCGGAUUCACAAAUGGACAGAUUCUGUCAUAGGAAAUUCUAGCAAAAACAAGUAGAAUGAACAUAUUCUGACUAGUAAAAUUCUAGCAGAACAAAAUAGAGGGAAUAUGCAAGAGGUUAUCAAAAUAAAUAUGACAAAACGAAUUGCUUUUGACUAUGCAGAACGAAACAAAAUGAAGAAGAAUGAAUGUGUAAUGGGUCAUUGAGAUAAAUAUGGUAGAACGACCAAAUUUUAAUUACCUAGAAUGUAGUAGAAAGAAGCAAAACGAACAUGUAAUGACUCAUGAAAAUAAAUAUGGCAGAACGACCAAAUUCUGACUACCUAGAACGAAGUAGGAAGAAGCAAAAUGAAUCAUCAAGAUAAAUAUGAUAGAACGACCAUAUUCUGAUUAUCUAAAAUGAAGCAGAAAGAAACAUAAUGAACAUACAAUAGGUCAUCAAGAUAAAUGUAGUAGAACAAUCAUAUUUUGACUACUUAGAAUGAAGUAGAAAGAAACAGAACAAACCUUUGGAAACUGAAUGAUGUACCAUGUAGGGCUAUGUAGCGAUUUUUGGCUAAAUAAUCAUUGAUAAGUCUGCAUGAUUGUGUUAAUAUUCGGUAGAAGGUACAAAUCCUUCACUAUCUUAGAUUCAAUGGCAAUCAAAGAGCUUUAACUUAGUGCAGAGUUUCAGCUUUCAUCUCUUUAUGAAUCCAUCUUGAGGCUAUUUGGAAAUUGAAAACCUCUGCAAAUUGCAGACUUUGGUAUAUGAGGGCAUUAAAUGCCCUCUUACAAGCUACUGAAGAUGCUUCUGCAGCUUAUUCUUAGGCGGACUUGCAGUUUUCAAACAGUAAUAUUUAUCAAAGUUGUGUGAAUUUUUGAAAGAAAUUGGACUAUAAUGACGUGGAUGGUAUCUGCAAAAUGAGUCUAAACAUUUGGAGGAUUAUGUACAGAUUUGGCUCUCUAAGUUUAGGCAUUUGUGUGAUUUGAUCUUCUAUUUUUUAUGUUGUGCAAUUAAGUCCUCUUUAACUUUUUUGAUUUGUGCAAUCAGGUGUAUUGUUUACUUGUUGUAAGUAAUGCUGUCACACUAUGAUUUCCUUUUUAGUCGUUUUUCCUAUUUGCUUUCUGCUCAUUUGGAAGCAAAUUAGCAUCACCUUUUAUUUUUGUCGCAUAAACAAUGUCACGUCAUUGAUUAAUUCGUUGGUUUAGUCGAAGUGGUUGACUGAAGGAUUUGAUUACAUAAAUUCAAAAAGUUGAAGGACUUGAUUGUACAAAAUAAAACUUGAAGGACCCAAUUUGCACAAAUGUAGAAAGUUAGAGGACUUGAUUUAACAAAAUAAAAAUUAGAGGAUCAAAUCGCAUAAAUGCUAGAACUUAAGGACCAUAAUAUGCACUUUACCCAACAUUUUUACUAUGAAUUACCUGUGGCCGUGCCUCGUCCGUGUCAGGCCGAGGCAAAUUAUGUCCGGGUCUGGUUUGUAUUUUCCAUUCUUUUAUUAAAUCUAAUAUCUUCUCAAUAGAGGCAACAAUCAAGACCCUUUUCGCUAAUUGGCCUUGCCCGGGACAGGCCGUGUAGGCCUUGCUGGGACCAUGGCGGUGGGCUGGUCAUUCCUAAUCCGGACAUUUGUUUAGCACGAUACAAGGUGUCAUGCCCUCCCCAGUGUGAUUUACUGCGGUUCUGAACAAGCUUUUCUGUUCCUGGCAAUGUCACAGCCAAAAUUCCCUUCCAUCUUGUGUAACUGAGAAAACUGGUAAUGAGUAACAUCUUGAGCAUGUUCUCUUUGAAAACUCAGGCACACGAUGCAUAAAUCCGGCUGUCAAACACCUAAAAAAGGUUUGAACUACAAUUCGGGCCCACGAUGCAUAAAUCCGGCCGUCAAACACCAAAAAAAAAAAAAAAAAAAAAGGGUUUGAACUACAUAGAGCAUGUAAUCUAGUGUCGUAGACAUCAAUGCCAGAACUGAGCGUAUGCUCCCUCUUCCUGUGACCGAGAAGAGACUUCCUUGUCAAUAGACGGGACAUGAAAGCCUCCGGUAUGUGCACAUUGGCGGCACGAAUACACCAUUUGAAUGAUUGUUAUGAAAGCCCCCAGCUUCAGAGCUACUUUAUUCUUCCGGUUUUGAGACGGCAUGCUGUAAAGACUCGAAAUGUCGGUAUGCCCUUUCCACUAUGUUUGGCCGAUAUCGUGCAAAAAAUCAACCAAAGAACAGUUUAAUAUAUACGCACCAGGUUGUCAUUCAUUUUCUCGGAAGUUAACGAAGCCUUUGUAGUGUCCUGGUUGGCACCUUUAGUGUGAAAACAUAUUUUAAUAGACUAAGGCUAUGCCAGCCACGCUAAGCGGAGAAGGGUCCAUUUAUGUCAUAAUCUUUAGGACUGGAGAUGGAUUUCACUUAGUUGUAUGAAAACCAUUUGAAAAGUUUGUUGAUCUUUGGCUCAUCCAAGGAAUUUGCCGUGCAUCAUCAGGAUUGAGAAAAGAUGGGACUUCCCUUGACCGAACUAUUUGCUCCUUGCAGUUCAGUCCAUCAACAAAUGCAACCGGAGGAGGUGAGCGAUCCUUCGACUCAGCAACAGUUUCAGCUCCAGCAGAAUAUAUAAACCAGUCCGAUUAAUCUGAUGUAGACUGUACAAUUCCAGCCCCAAAAUUAGUAGACGAUGCCACUUCACGCAAGCGAACCAAAGUUUUGGGGCUCAGUCUACUCUGCACUCAGAGCAACCAAUUCCCGUGAGCUCUCAGAUUCCAGCCGGUUUCUGGCCAUUGCAUCCUGUCCCAGGCUUUACUACAGGGCCGAUGAAUGCUCCGGCUCAACCCUUUCAUACUGCUGGUUUAGACUAUCCUCAAGUGCCAUUUCAUCCGCAUAACGUGCCUCCGAUGCCUUAAGGGAUAAUAGUUCAAUUGCCACCAUCUGCUCCACCAUCUCCUUGGACAACGGGGUUGUUUGACUGCAUGGAUGACCCUUUAAUUGGUACAGUCGCCUUUUGCUUUUCCUGGGCAAGUUUAUAAUAAAAUCGACCAGUAACACACGGAGAAUCUCCAAGUAUUUCUUGCGUGUUUGCAGUGGUUGUGGCCUGUUGCUUCCCCUGCGUAACAUUCGGCCAGAUAGCCGAGAUUGUUGACUGAGGGAGCACAUGUUAGUAAGGAUGCUUUUACUGACUUUUAAAUCCUUGAUUCUACAUUCUGAGGGAGAGAGCAAUCGGAAUGAGAUUUUUUAUGCACUUCAGCAUAUGAGAAGAAAGGGUCUCAUUGAACUAAUGCGGUUGAGAAUGAUGUUUGCUUUGCAGCAUGUGGAACGAGCGGGCUACUUACGGUGGGAUCCAGUUUCUCAUCGGUUGCCCGUGCUUAUUGUCCUGCACUUGCUGAACCAAGCUCCGGAACUGAUUCAACCUCAUCGAGUCCCCUGCUCCUGACUGGAUCACUCACUUCUUUUGCGAAUGCUGUGCUCUUUCUGAGGGAUACAGAGAGCCUAAGAACAGAGGACUUGACCCUUCCAUAGGCAAAACUGAUGUCGAAUAUAGCCAUUUGAGCUCCAAACGGACACUUAAUAAGCCAACUUAUUGCAAAUAUGGCACUACAAUACUGUCAUUAUGGUUUGAUUACCGUCACCAACCAAGAAAACUCUGCAUUUUCAGCUUUGUUUUCAGCAAGAAAUUGCUGAUGUUUAUUCUUGUUGCUUGCCAAGAUUGGCAGGGGAAUGCGGCAAACAUGCAGAAUGUGUAGUAUCAGGUUGUUAUGGUGCCUCCAAUGCAUUAGCAAGCCAUGAGAGCUUGACGAGGAACAUCACAUCGGAUCCAUCAGUGACUCAGAUCUUCCUCGUAUGUAGUCACCAAUGAGUCCAAGAAAGCGAAUGCCAAUGGAAUUAUGAAGUUUCAAUUUGCAGAUAUGAAUAACAUAUUUCUUUCUAAAAGUUUCCAUCGAUUUGAGGAACAAAUUGAAAUAAAAUUGUCGAAGAAUAUCUUACAAUAGUCCAACAACUGAUUUGCUUCUGUGCUGUAUCGUUGUUGCAUCUUGAAACAUUACUUUCUUUUCCACCAGUUAGUUUCAGACUCAUAUCUAGGAUCAUGCCACUGUUCACAAUUCUGUGACAUCCAUCAAAUCCAUAACAUCAGCUGUUUUCAGCGGCAUGAUUUUUUGGAGGUGCUCGGUUCACUAGUCGUUUCUUUGGAUUAAGCUUUCCGAACUAUGUGCUUUCUUAAUUCAACCGAGAAGGAAGGCUCCCAUCUAGAUGUGAGAGGAUGACCACUGUGAGGUGAUCGCAGCUACCACAAGAGAUACACGAUGUGAGAUGGAUGGCCUCUCGUCGACUACAACACGGUGGUUGCCAUCUCUCUCUUGCACACGCACGCGGCUCUCAGCCUAUUUGGCACCAUAUUAGCUGCAUAAGAGCCACGUGAGCCAAUGAAAAUUAAUGUAACACAUGUACGCUGAUUGUCCAGCUACUAUUCCAACGUGCUCCUCAGCACUAUGUAUAGAGCUUUUCAACCGGAAGGCCGACUGCAAACACAUUUUACAAAAAAAAAUUGUCUACCUUGUCUGGGUUCUCAAGUACUCAUUUUGGGGUUUGGCCCAUGUCUAGAAUAGGUCGAGUCGUCAUAGCAUGUCUCCUUUUGAUAGAUCUACGGUUUGUGGAUGGAAUAGGCUCAUACCCAAUCCAACAAGGCUAAGGAGUAUUGCUCAAGUGAGAGGGAUUGGACAAGGUACUACUCUUGGUAGACUUUUAAGAUAGCAAAUGGUGCAAGGAAAUGCCACGACAAUGCAGAAUGUGCAGUAUCUGGUUGCUAUGAAGCCUCCAACUUUAUAGAUUUUCUUAUUUACUUUCUUUUUUCUUUCUUUCCUUUUCUGUCCUACUAUUCAUGUUUUUCUUUGGGUGUUAAUCCAAUGUCCCCACCCCAUGGCUACAACAUUUACAAGAGCCAAUUCACUAUGCUACUAUGGGUGGAGUUUUUUCUGUUCUUCAUCUUCGUUUUCAGUAAAGACAGAGAAUUGAUUUGACAAUAGUAAUAAUAAAAAGUCAUUGAUGUUGUAAUGGCUGGCUUUUGACUUAGUCAAUAUUAACUAGUAAAAGGAAAAAAAAAAAGUGGACUCAAGAAAAUGUAUACACGUUCAAAAGAGGCAAAUAAAGAAAAUAAGAGAAAAUAAGAGAAACAAAGGCGAAAAUGUAGGAAGAAAAAGGAAAAGGAAGAAGAGUACAUGCCAUGGCGCCUCGUCAAGUUAGAUUAACUUUAUCUUGCAACGCCCAAUUAAUCUUAUCAGAGAUUUUUGAAAUAGAGCCCUAAUUUUGAAUCCUUGUGAAUUUUAAGCCAGUAGGUUAAUUCUAUGAGUUGUUAAACUGAGAAAUUAUGGGGCAUUAAUAGUUUAGGGUAUUGUAAAACUAUAGGAUUUUACAUAACUCGAUUCAAGCUUAUAGUUUGCCCGAAAUAAAAUUUUGAAAUUAUGCGCACAUGCUGUAACAUUAGCGAAUUUCCUAGUUUACCAAUGAUUAUGGCCAUUCUUAAGCUAUCUUUAGAGUUGGCAAAACUUAGGGAAUCUAAUUAUCUCGAAAGGUCUUUCAUUAGAGAGAAGAUUUGCUAAAAUCAUGGUUCAAUGAAGAGAGUUGUGGUGCAAAAAAAUUGUGACACGCAAGCUAGGCAUAGCAGACACUUUUGAAUGACUACUACAACAAGCCUUUCAUUGUUGUGUAGGAGUCGAUUGGUUGACGAACAGGCGUAGUUUAGAUCAUCAGUUAAAGUAGUGUUUUGCUUUGUCUUGACAUCAAUUCUCAUUUAAUUGAUAGAAUAUUGUCGACUCAAAUAGCUACAUUAUUUGGCUUUGAGUAUUUCUAACUGAGUGUUGUUGAUUUCUUUUAUAGUAUUAUAAAAUCCAUGUCUUAAAAUAAUAGUUAAUUUGAUAUUAUAUAUGUGUUUAUGUAUAUAUAUGUGUGUAUUGAACAAAGAAGAACAUAAUUGUUGCAUAAAACUAGAUCGAGUGUUUAUUAUGUUUUAGUUAUUGUAAGAUGGUCUGAUAAACUUUUCUUGAAUGGUCAUGUGUAUUAUUUCGUAAAAAUACUUAUGAGAUAAAUUUUGAAAAGAUUAGAGAAAUACUUUACAGAAAGGGAUUUUGAUUGAUGAAUUGAGUUGCGAAAGAUUAGAUAAUUUGGUUUAUGAUAUAGAGGUUGGAUAGGUUUGGUGGAUUUUGGAGGAUAAUGUUGUGAGUUUGUGUUGAUGCUCAUCAUCUCUGGGAACUCAUUUGAGGGGUUUGUAAGUAUGUAUACUAGUUUUAGGAUAUCUUUAUGGGUUGGCUACUAGAAAUAUAAGUAGACACCUAGUCAAGUAGAGAAUCUUAGUCGCCUUUAUCAUAAGGCAUUGAGCGUGAUGGACCAUUGACAUAUGAUUUAAUGAGAUUGAUUAGUGGACUGAACCAUUAAUACUUAUUUUGAUAUUAUUAUGUUGAAGUAAUAUAGUUCAUUUUCAUCUUGUAAAUUUGUUAUAUAUCGGAUUUAGUGUAAAUGAGUUACCUUUUUGUGUCCUAAACAUUCACAGUGGAUCCCUGAUUUGUUUAGAAGAGAUUUGUACUACUCAUUGGCCUAUAAUUGCCCAUUCCAUUUAUCUUACUUCUAUUUUUAGGUUCUUCAGGUAGCCGUAAAUAGGACAAGAGUGUUUACAUUUUGAUAGUGGGAUUUUUUUUUUUUUUUUUAUGAGUUGUUUAUGUCUGCAUUGAACUAUGAGUUUUGUUAGUUGCAGAUAUAUAUGUGUUUUUUUUAUGGAUUAUGGAAACUCUAAUCUUGUAAACAAACGACACUUUAUCAAAUAUAUGGAUGUAUAUAUAUUCCAAUAUCAAGUUGAGUUAUAGUUACGUUUAAAGCUACAUUAUUUGGAUGAAAUGACAACCGUGUCAUCCCUUAUACUUGUUGGAGUCGGGUGUGUGACAAAUGUUAUAAAGUUGAGAUUGGUAUUUUAGAUCUUAAUUGUGUGAAGUAUAGAAUUUUCCUUUCAUCGUGCCUCUGCCGCUGCUUCAAUUUUCACUUGAGGCCUGCCUUUAUCCUGCGCCACAACCACUGCUUGAAUUGUUACAAAGAGCAACUACCUUAAUACGCCAAAUCGUGGCGAAAUCGGGUGGGAAUUCGUUCGAUUCUGAUAAAUCUUCACCAUUUGCCUUGGUUUCUUGCGCCUCCAUGCAGAUUGACGCCAGCCGCAGCAAAAUGGGCUUGGCCGGGAUCACUGGGAAUUUAUGAGACUGGUUCGCUUGGGCCAGCUUUGGCACUAUUCACCGGAAAUUUGAGCAUUAUCGGGCUGAUUAUCGAGACGUGCUUGUUAGCACUGCCAUUAGAUCUACCAAAUGAGAAUUCUUUUCCGUAAUCCAUGGAGGAGCACCGGCAGCCACGCCACCAGCUCAGCUCCAACUCUAGACAAAUCAGCUUUCUUACGAUGAUUUACCAUGUUUCCCAAAGAGAUUUGGGUUUAACAGUAGUACUUCAACUUGACUUCAGAAAAAUCAGUUUUCUUGCAACGAUUUACCAUGUUUCCCUGUGAGAUUCAGGAUGAGAAAGAAGAAAGAACAAAACAAAUCAGAAAAAUCACAAAAGUAUUUAAAAUCAUGUUAUUUCAAUUCAGUUUGUCCAAAUCAUAUGAUCAGUCAUGUUACUAAAGAUGGUGAGAGAUGAUUGGAUUGGUAUGUCAACAUUUUCGGAUAAAAUUAACCAAAAAGAAUAUCUUGGAGUAUAAAAAAAAAUUAAAUUGAAAAAGUCUAAGAUUAUAUCGGAAUUUGUUAAUUUAGGACUAAAUUGGUAAUUUUCCCCAUCUUAUCUAAUCUUUCCUUCCCUCGCUUUUUCCUAGCUCUUUCCUAAAUCCCGAUGAUUAAAACAGGUUCAUCUUCGAGAGUCUACUAUCCAUGUGAACUUCUAUUCAUGGAUUCAAUUGCGAUCGUCUCAGACAUUAAACGGUAAGAUGAAGAACAUGAAACCACCACUUCUCUUAUUAUUCCUCUUCAUCUCCGUCCUGCUCGAAGCACUCAUGGUCUCAGUCACUGGUGACAAUGUUGGUGCAUACUUGCCGGUUAAUGAUAUCGCCAUCAACUGCAGCUCCCUCGGCAACUCCUCUGUGUCCAAGCAGACUUGGAUCAGGGACGCCGAGGAUGGUUCGACCUACUUUCCAAUCGAUGAAACUCAUUCCUCUAUCGUUGCAAGUGCAAACCGGUCAUCUUCCCCUGUCCACAACCGCAUCCCACACGACACUGCUCGUCUCUCCCGCUCAGAAUUCGUCUACACCUUUCGCGUCACCAUGGGGCCCAAAUUCGUUUGCCUCCACUUCCUCCCUUCGGAUUACCUCAACUCCGGGACGAUUCAUUCUUCUCGGUCAAGGCUGCCGGCUACACUCAGCUCCGCAACUUCAUCUGCAAAGAGUCCUGCUUAACCAUCGUAGCUGACCAGAUAUUGAACGUCACGUUUGCUCCCACUCCUGAUAACCCAGACGUGUACGCUUUCGUGAAUGGAAUCGAAGUUGUUUCCAAAGUGUUACGAUUUUGCGACGUCACUAAGUGCAAAACAUCUUAAAUUUACCAACUUUUAUGACCGUUUGUCAUGGAAAAGAAGAAAUUGUCAUAAGUUGAGGAUUUCUUUACAGAGAGUGAUGACGUCAUGACAAGAGCAAAACGUCCAAGAUUAGGAUGUUUUUCCAAAUACAACUAUUUACAAAGGGUUAUGUGUGGCAUCCUAGAAAUUCAAAGCCAAGCCAUAAGGUGUGUUAAAGUCUUUAAUUAGGUGAUAGAAUUUCCAUGGCUUAUGUUUUAGCCAUUAGUCUUUUAAUUUGAUGAUUUGUGCUUGUGAUUGUGGAAAUUUAAAUUUGAUAGAUUAAUAAUUUAUGCUUGGCCAUGUGCUUAAUAAAUUAAAUUUCAAUAACCAAGAUGUCCCAAGACUUUGGCCAAGAUAAAAUUUGAAUUUGGAAAUAUUUAUAGAAGAAUUUCAAAAAAAAAAGAAGGGAAAAAGAGGUUAAAAUUUGAUUGGGCCUUAAGCCCAAGAGUGGAACCCUAAUGGGCCAAGCUAGUCAGCCCAAGAGGGAGUUCGACCGGCCCAUUAGAGCCCACAAGGAGGCUGUCGACCAGCCCAAGGAGGAGUGGCCGGAUGGCCCAAGCCCAAGCCCAACUCCAAGGCCCAUCUUGCAUGGAUCAAGACAAGUGGCAAGGAGAAGGCCAUGCAUUGGCCAUUGGUUGAGGCAAAUCAAUCAUUACUAAUGAUGAGCUUUAGGGGAAAUAAAAGGGGAGAAGAGAGAGAAGGUGGCCGGUUUUGCUUGAUUCGGCCGAGAGAGAGGGAGAGAGAGAGAGAGAAAUCGCGAGAGAGAGGGAGAGACCGAGAGGGAGAGGAGGCAGAGCCGAGGAGGAGCUGCCAUGUCUCGCCGUCCGUUCGCCGUACGCCGUCGUUUGUUCAUCCUAGAGGCAAGUGGAGUCCUCUAAAUUCUCUUGCAUGUGUGUAUAUGGUUUGCAUGUUCGAUUUUGGGUGUUAUUUGUGAGAAAAACCGAGGUAAGGGUUGGUUGUUUUCAAGCCGUGUGACUGUUCUUGCUCGGGUUGUAGGAGUCAGUAACUUGUUUGAGCUUGAAUGUGUGUUUGGAGUCCGAUUUUGGAUUCGAUGUCUUCAUGGAAGUUUUAGCUAACAUAUCUUAGUAUAACAUACUGAAAUUUCGUGGAAAAUUAUGGAGAUAUGAGGGGUCAAAGUCCUAUUCUACGGAGACCCCAGAUCUGUGAAGUUUUCACUGACCUCUUGUUGAAUUCUUGGUUGCAUGUUGGUUUGUGAUGAAAAUAUGACUUUGAUGUCUUCAUGAAAGUUGUAGGUAACAUCUUAAAAUACAACAUACUCAAAUUUUAAGGGAUAUGAACAAGUAUAGCCUAGUAAAUCGGCUAGAUCUUGGAGACGAUGAUUCUGGUGAUGUGUUCCGAGACACCCGAGACUUCAUAGACUUAAAUGGUGACCAUAAUUUGGUUAUUUGACCUAGAUCUCUUCAUGAAACUUGUAAAGGACACUUUGAUACAUAACAUAUCCAAAUUUCAGAGGAAACAAAAGAGAAUAGAUGGGUGAAAUCUUAAUAUUUCGGAGAUGUGUAUUCUGGACGAUGCGGUAGUGGUUCCAGAAGCUUCGUGAGGUCGUGUAAAAUAAUAUAAAAAGAAUCUGGCCUGGAGUUUUUCAUGAAAGUUGUGCGAAAAUGUCUUGGCUAUCACGCUGUAAAAUUUCGUAAUUUUUGGAGGCCAUAUGGAUAUUUUAAUCGAAUUUAUUCAGAAACUGUGCAUUCUGGUUGUUAUCCGAAUAUUAUGUGCUAUUUAGUGGAACUUGUGAAAUUGUGUGAAAUUCAAGUUGGCCAUGAAUUUUGCAUGCAAUUGUCAUUCUAUUGGUUUGAUUAAUGAUUGUUUGAAUUUUAUGAUUUUGGGAAAAUCAUAGAUAUUGAAUUUAAUAUUUAUUUAUGGAAAUAAAUAAAUAAGAUAAUAAAAAUAAUAAUAAAAUAAUCAAAAUAAAAUAAAAUGGAUUAUUUUAUUGGCCAUAAAUUCCAUUGAAUUUAUUUAUAAAUAAAUAUGCAUUGUUGCAUGUAUGAUAAGACAUUGGUAUAUGUAUGACCAUGAAUUGUGAUGCAUGUGUGAAUCAUAUGCCAUGUUAAAUGAGAUUAAAGCAAUGAUAAAUGUGGAUAAUGAUAAGUGAGUAAGUGGUUGUGGUGGAGGAUGAGGCCGGAAUGUACAGAGAUGCAUUGUCGGAAUUCCCUGGGAGAUUCAGGAUGCCCGGAAUGUGGGGGGCCGGAAGCCUUGUCGGAGGUCUUUACCCGAAAGGAAUGUCUCACGAUGCUAGAAUUGGGGUGCGAGAUGCCUGGCUAGAAAGGGUAAAGGCCGGAAGCCCUGUCGGAGGUUUCUGCCCGAAGGGAAUGCCUCGUGAUGCUAGUUGAGAUGCGAGAUGCCCGGAAUGUGGGGGGCCGGAAGCCCGGUGGCCAUGGGAUGGCUGGAAUGCUGGGAACCCUAUCGGAGGUCUUUGCCCGAAGGGAUGAUGAAAUUGAUGAUAUGAGAAAUGGGUGAUGUGGUGAUCAAACUUAAAGAUAAAAGAUGAAAAAUGAACCCAUGAUAUGAUAUGCAUGAUGAUAUGCAUGAUGAUGAUGAUGAUGAUGAUGAUGAUGAUAUGUGAUGUGAUAUGAUGAUCACCCAUGAUAUGAUAUGCAUGAUGAUGAUGAUGAUGAUGAUAUGUGAUGUGAUAUGAUGAUCACCCAUGAUAUGAUAUGCAUGAUGAUGAUGAUGAUGAUGAUGAUGAUGAUGAUGAUGAUGAUGAUGAUGAUGAUGAUGAUGAUGAUGAUGAUAUGUGAUAUGAUAUGAUGAUCACCCAUGAUAUGAUAUGCAUGAUGAUGAUGAUGAUGAUGAUAUGUGAUAUGAUAUGAUGAUCACCCAUGAUAUGAUAUGCAUGAUGAUGAUGAUGAUGAUGAUGAUGAUGAUGAUGAUGAUAUGUGAUGUGAUAUGAUGAUCACCUAUGAUAUGAUAUGCAUGAUGAUGAUGAUGAUGAUGAUGAUAUGUGAUGUGAUAUGAUGAUCACCUAUGAUAUGAUAUGCAUGAUGAUGAUAUGCAUGAUGAUGAUGAUGAUGAUGAUAUGUGAUGUGAUAUGUGACACCCCUCGCCGGCCCCCGAUCCAUUAGGGUCGCCACAGUUCACUCUACCUUUAACUUUCCCUAUUAACAUGUUACUCUGAUACCAUUUCAAUUGCAGCGGGUCCAUACAACUAUAGGGGUUCACACAUUUUUUUUUUCUCUUUUUAACUAAAGGUCCCUUGCACAAUUCAUAUACGGAAGCACGUCCAACAACUCCCUUCCCUAUAUUCAGAAAACAAUGCACACCUACUAAACAUUUAUAGGUAAAUGCUGUACACUUUUUAUUUACUUAAAUCAGAUGGACAUCAUUCAUCGGUACAUCAAAAUGUCAUAGUCUUCUAUAUUCGGCUACACUCCAAAAGAUGACCGAUGUUUCCUCAAACAGUCAUACACUUUAAGUCCAUCGAUCAGUGUCGGCGUUCAAAAGCUCCUUCCUUUGCUAUCCUCCUCCUCAUCCAACCGUUCAAACCCUCUAGUAAUCUGAAAUGUUGGUCCCCAAAAGGGGUGAGUACAACCACUCAGCAGGUAAAGGAAUCCAAUAACCACUCGAUGCAUCAUACAAGUCAUACAUGCAUUGCAAGCAUUACUUACCUUGAAGCCAUGCACAUACUAUCAUGCAUCAUCAUAUCAAUUUAUAACACAUACAUGUGUAUCAUCAUCGUAUCAUACAUGUCAUCAUCAUCAUGACAUCAUUACCUUACACAUGUCAUCAUCAUCAUGGCAUUAUCACAUUACACAUGUCAUAUCAUAUAUCAUCAUCAUUAUCAUCACCAUGCAUAUCAUCAUGCAUAUCAUAUCAUGGGUGAUCAUCAUUAUUUCACAUCACAUAUCAUCAUCAUUACCAUGCAUCCAUGCAUGUAACAUCAUCGCCAUAUCCUCAUAUCACAUGUGCCAUCAUCAUUACCAUGCAUCCAUGCAUGUAACAUCAUCAUCACAUCAUGCAUAUAUCAUCAUGCAUAAUUUAAUUUCAAUUUCAUUUUGAAUUGCCGCAUUUCUCUUCUCCCGGGAUCAAUGUUUGCAUCCCACAUUCAUCACUCGCGCCCAAUCCAGGCAUUGCGAGAACCAUCCGGGCAUGUAUCCAAUAUACAACCGGUCAUCCGGCACCUCCACAUUCCGGGUAUCUCGUAUCCCAACUGACAUCACGAGGCAUCCGGGCAUGCAUCCAAGAUACAACCGGGCAUCCAAAGGGCAUCGACUCAUUCGAACCUUUGGGCAUCUCGCACCCCACCUGGCAUCACGAGGAAUCUCCGGGGCUCGCCAUGAAAAUGGUUACCCCUACCCUCCGGGCAUGCAUCAUGAUACAACCCCUCACCCUCCGAGUAUGUAUCAUAAUACAACCGGGCAUCCCGACACUCCCGGGGAAAACCUCUGGGCAUGUAUUCAUAAUACAACUAGGCAUCCAAAGGGCAUCGAUUCAUUCGAACCUUUGGGCAUCCCGACUCCCGGGGCAUUGUCGGCUCAACCUCCGACGGUAUCAUCAUCACCACGAUGCAUAUUCUCAUACAUCUCAUUUCUCAUCUUCUACAUUUACUAAUAUUUUGAUCUCAAUUUAACACGGCACAUAUCGUGACAUCAAACAAGUCAUACUUGGCAUAGCAUUCACACAUGCAUCACAAUUCAAUGUCAUACAUACACCAAUAUCUCAUCAUACAUGCUACAAUGUAUAAUUAUUUAUUAAUAAAUUCAAUGGAAUUUAUGGCCAAUAAAAUAAUCCAUUUUAUUUUAUUAUUAUUUAUUAUUAUUUUUAAUAAAUAAAUAUUAAAUUCAAUAUCUAUAAAUUCCCAAAAUUAUAAAAAUUCAAGCAACUACAAACCAAUAGAAUUACAUGCAAAAUUCAUGGCCAAAUCGAAUUUCACAAAAUUUCACAAUUUCCACAAAACAGCCCAUAAUAUUCGGAUAAAACCAGAAUGCACAGUUUCCGUAGAAAUUCAAUUAAAAUAUCCAUACGGCCUCCAAAAAUUACGAAAUUUUACUGAGUUAUAGAAAAGACAUUUUUGUACAAAUUUCAUGAAGAACUCCAAGCCAGAUUAUGUUUAGCUUAUUUUAUACAGUCUCACGAAGCUUCUGGAUCCAUUACCGCAUCGUCCAGUGCACACAUCUCCGAAAUACUGAGGUUUCACCUACCUAUUCUCUUUAUUUUUCUCUGAAAUUUUGGUAUGUUAUACAUCAAGAUAUCCUUUACAAGUUUCAUGAAGAGAUCUAUGUCAAAUAACCAGAUUAUAGUCAUCAUUUAGGCCCUUGAAGUCUCGGGUGUCUCGGAACACAUCACCAGAAUCAUCGUCUUCAAGAUCUAGUUGAUUUACCAAGCUAUACUUGUUAUUUUCACUUAAAAUUUUAGUAUGUUGUAUUUUAAGAUGUUCCCUACAACUUUCAUGAAGAAACUGAAGUGAUAUUCUCAACACAAACCAACAUGCAACCACAAAUCCAACCAAAGGUCAGUAAAAUCUUUCCAGAUCUGGGGUCUCCGUAUAAUGAGACUUUAACCCCUAAAAUCUCCAUAAUUUUCCACUAAAUUUCAUUAUGUUGUAGUUUAAGAUGUUAGCUACAACUCUCAUGAAGAUAUCACAGCCAAAAUCGAACUCUAAACAUGCAUGCAAGCUCUCACAACAUUCUGACUCAAACAGUUCAUAAGAAAAUAUUCCAGAUCUAGCAUCUCCGUAGGAUAAGGGUUUGACCCCUCAAAUCUCCAUAAUUUUCCACAAAAUUUCAGUAUGUUAUAGUUCAAGAUGUUAGCUACAACUUUGAUGGAGAAAUAGAAGCCAAAAUCGGACUCUAAACACACAUGCAAGCUCAAACAAUUUUCUGACUCCAAACUGUUCAUGCGAAAACAUUGGUGCAAGAGUAGAAAGUGGAUUCCAAACUUGCCUCUAGACCUCACGAACAGCACGAGCGGACGGCACACGGCGGCGAACGGGCUCCUUUCUCUCCCUCUCGGCUUCCUCUCUCUCUCGCACGAUUCUCUCCCUCUCUCCCUCACUUGGCCGAAUGGCUAACCGGCCAUUCUCUCUCCUCUUCUUCCCUUUUAUAUUGCAUGCAUUCUAGGUUUGCAUGAGGGACAAGUGUAAUUGUGGAGGAAGACAAGUGUCCACCAUGCUUCACCUCCUCCAUGCCACUUGUCCUAUUACAUGCAUCAUGGGCCGGCCACCUCUUCCUUUGGGCCUUAAUGGGCCGGUCGAACUCCCUCUUGGGCCGACUAGCUUGGCCCAUCAAGCUUAGGCCAAAUGGGCUUAAGGCCCAUUCAAAAAUUAACCCCUUUUUCCCUUUUUUUUUUUUUUAUGAAUUCCUUCUAUAAAUAUUUUUAAAUUUCCAUUUUCAUCUUGGCCAAAGUCUUGGGACAUUUUGUUCAUUGAAAUUUUAUUUAUAAAGUACAUGGCCAAGCAUAAAUUAUUAAUCUAUCAAAUUUAAAUUUUCACAAUCAUAUGCACAAAUCAUCUAAUUAAAGACUAAUGGCUAAAGCAUAAGCCAUGGAAAUUUUUAUCACCUAAUUAGGAACUUUAACACACCUCAUGGCUUGGCUUUGAAUUUUGGGAUGCCACAUGAUAUGAUGAUCACCCAUGAUAUGAUAUGCAUGAUGAUAUGCAAUGGUGAUGAUGAUGAUAAUGAUAUAUCAUAUGGCAUGUGUAUUGUGAUGAUGUCAUGAUGAUGAUGACAUGUAUGAUGUAAUGAUGCCAUGAUGAUGAUGAUGAUAUAAUGAUGCCAUGUAUGGUACGAUGAUGAUAUACAUGUAUGUGUUAUAAAUUGAUAUGAUGAUGCAUGAUAGUAUGCGCAUGGCUUCAAGGUAAGAAAUGCCUGCAAUGUAUGAUGAUAUGCAUGAUGCAUUGAGUUGUUAUUGGAUUUCCCUAUCUGCUGAGUGGUUGCUCACCCCUUUUGGGGAAUAACAUUUCAGAUUAGCAUGAUAGUAUGCGCAUGGCUUCAAGGUAAGAAAUGCCUGCAAUGUAUGAUGAUAUGCAUGAUGCAUUGGUUGCUCACCUCUGAUGAUGUCAUGAUGAUGAUGACAUGUAUGAUGUAAUGAUGCCAUGAUGAUGAUGAUGAUGAUAUAAUGAUGCCAUGUAUGGUACGAUGAUGAUAUACAUGUAUGUGUUAUAAAUUGAUAUGAUGAUGCAUGAUAGUAUGCGCAUGGCUUCAAGGUAAGAAAUGCCUGCAAUGUAUGAUGAUAUGCAUGAUGCAUUGAGUUGUUAUUGGAUUUCCCUAUCUGCUGAGUGGUUGCUCACCCCUUUUGGGGAAUAACAUUUCAGAUUAGCAGUAUGCCGCUUUCUGCCGUCUCGCGGGGGGUGUUUUAUGGUCUACCGUCCGAUGUAGAGGUCGAGUGUGCGGAGAUAGACUGCCCCUCUGUUCCCGGACUGACUUUUAUUCGAGUACGUUGUCUAGUGAUGUAUGACAUAGGCCUGGCUGGGGGCCCUGUCAUUCAGGAGUUCAUUUCUGUGCAUGUUCGUCGGGAUGGAGCUAUGCGAGGGAUGUUGUCGCCGCCACCGCCUGAUGCACCGGGUUGGGUGUGAGACCUGCGCGCGAUGAGUAGGAGCUGGAUCUCUUUUUGAUGUAGAUAGUCGACACUUUCGAUGGGGGGUUUUGUGCUCGUAUGAUGUUAAGGGUCGAGGUUUCUUUUUGAGAUUUUAGGCAGGACAUGGCAGAGUCCUAGCCUUUCUUGUUUUGUACCGACCCGAAGGGAAUCCCAUCUUGCUAUAUAUGUAUGUAAGCAAAGUGUCGAAGUUGUUUAUAAAAUCCUGAUGUUUAGCUGGUGUGUAUUGGUAUCAUGGAUUUGUAGGGGGAUAGAUGGUGAUGUUUAAUUUGCUUCCGCUAUGAGUCACGCUGGGACCGCUUUUUAAAAAAAAAAAAUGCCUGUGAUUAACGACGCUUGUUCUAAGUACAAGAUAGGAAAAUGUAAUAAAGUGUAACAUCAGAGCUUGUGGCGAUCGCCGAAGGGUUCGGGAUGCUACAUUAUGUUUGUUUGCCCUAAAUAAGGAUAAAAUGCCAUAAUCUUGUAUUGUUUUUUUUUCAACUACAACGCUUUGUGAAAGUAACCAUGAACAAAAUGUUGCAAAUUUUAAAAUUACAAUGAUUUUAAAAAAUUUCAACGUUCCAUUGUAACCAAAAACUUAACAUUGUGAAUUUAAAUCCUUUCAAACUACAACGGCUUAUAAAGAUUGCAACAAUCAUUGUAACUAACAAUAUAACCUCAUAAAACUUUAUUAAAUUUGAUUUUUACAGUGCCAUGACAUCAAUAUUCUAGGGGUCUGGCACCCAUUUGCUAGUGCUUAAAGCAUCACAAAUUUCAUUUUAGUAUGUCGGACGUGCAUUUUCUAGUAUCAGACAUCUAACUUUCAACAAUUGGGAUCCUUCCAUCUUAAUCUAAUGGUUGACAUUUAUGGGUUACGGUAUAAGAUUAAAAUCUCAGAAGUCUCUGACUAAGCAUCGAUGGAUUUAUCCAGUAUAUGAUAUAUCAAUAACGCGUUUGAUAAUAUUUCCGUUACAUAAAUAAUUUUCCUCCUUGAAAUGACAAAAGUUGAAAAUGGAAGGACACGAUAUAGAAAACACUAGGGGUAAGUAUGGUUCCAGGAUAGAACCUAAAAUCUGAGAAUCAAACCGGUAGGAACUUGUAGGUUCAAGGUUCCAAGGUAUGUAGAAUAAGUUUUAUGUUAAAAAAAAUGAGAAAUUUAUUUCAACGGAUAGAUUCUGGGUUCUUAGUUAUAGGUUCCAAGUUCUUAGUUGGAAGGACCCAGAACUUGGAACCUAGAACUCGAAACAAGUUUAAAUAUUCCUUUUGAUUUAUGUCUUCAUGCAAUCUUCCGAUAUUCCAUGAUAUUCGAUAAUGAGUGUAUAAUCUGAAAGCACUAGUUUGAGUUUCCAUUUUAUGGCUAAGUUUUUUACUUUAUUAAUAUUCAUAUUUUUCAUGUAUUUAAAUAUAAGUUAUGAUUAAUGAAUUGUAAUCGUUCAAAUAAUAAUAUAAGUGUGAUCUAAGUAGACUUUGGAACCUAUGACAGAAUAUGUUCCAAAUUCUAGAGUAUGCAAGAUAGGUUUCAGGUUCCAAAAAAGUGAGGAAUUUGUUUGGACAAGUAAGUUCCAAGUUUUAGAUGAAACAUGUACGACACUUAGAACCGUUCACCCCUACUUUUAUUUAGUUGAAUUCCUUGCCAAUAAUUUUUUUUUUUUUUUAUAGUUUUGUUCAUUUUAUAUUCUCUUUGAUGAACAACAAGCUUGUUUAUUAUUAUCGCGUUCAGUUUCAUGAAAAAAAAAAUCCAUUGGACCUUGGAACUGAUCAUGGAACCGAUCUUGGAAUCUGUUACAGUGUAAAUUUCAGGUUUUAGGUCCCGAUGGGUAGGUUUUAAAUUCCAGAAAAUGAGAAAUUUGUAUUCGAAGGUAAGUUUUAGGUUUUAGGUGAACCUGUAAAGAAUUUGGAACCACCCACCUCUAGAAAACACAGUUUGGAGGUGGUCCCUAAGAGCAUUAUUGCAUAAGACCCGACAGUCGCACUGCUGACCUGACGUGACCUUCCUAAGGCAAUUGAACCUUCCACAUAAAGCGCACCCGGAAGGACCCAAAUCCCGUCCGCUGAUUUUCUUGUGAUAGGCGAGGGCUCUAUCCCCGUGCAGAUACCUUAGCGACGACUUUGGUCUUUCACUAAUCUCGUCACUAGUGCCGGCCGUCUCUUCCACUGUUCUUCCUAAUUCCCCAUUAGUCAAAACUGGUUCAUCUCCGAGACCCUGCUCUCCUCGUGCUUUUCAUCGAUUUGUCCGCGAUCCUCUGUCGUCGAGCAGCGAGAUGACGAACAUGAAACCACCACUUGUAUUAUUCAUCUUCAUCUCCGUCUCGCUCGAAGCACUCCCGGUCUCAGUCACUGGCGACAACGUUGGCGCUUACCAUCCAACCGAUGAUAUCGCCGUUGACUGUGGCUCCAACACCAGCUUUCUUGUGGGUAGACGGAAUUGGAUAGGAGACGCCGCUGACAGUUCGGACUACUCUCCAAAUGAGAAAACUCACUCCUCUACCGCAGCAGAGGCAAGCAGUUCAUCUCCCAGCAUCCCUAGCGCCGCCCCAUACCUCACGGCUCGCCUCUCCCGCUCCGAGUUCGCCUACACCUUCCACGUCAACGCAGGGCCCAAAUUCGUUCGCCUGCACUUCUUCCCUUCGGAUUACCCCAACUUCCGCCGUGUUGAUUCCUUCUUCUCAGUCGAGGCCGCUGGCUACACCCUGCUCCGCAACUUCAGCGCUUCCC
Molecule: long non-coding RNA, 56716 nt
Filed under: Eucalyptus grandis
Lineage: Eukaryota; Viridiplantae; Streptophyta; Magnoliopsida; Myrtales; Myrtaceae
Description: long non-coding RNA (EGRA_LNC005962)
Source: RNAcentral